RNAcentral lists this long non-coding RNA (85566 nucleotides) under Triticum aestivum (bread wheat). RNAcentral describes it as "long non-coding RNA (TAES_LNC008282)". The stretch from base 3980 to 4066 matches the Rfam family "MIR1120/MIR1122 microRNA precursor family". Lineage: Eukaryota; Viridiplantae; Streptophyta; Magnoliopsida; Poales; Poaceae. The record is from RNAcentral.
CUCAUCUCAUCUAUUCAUCUCCACCUGCACCAAAACACACUGACAACAUGAAGGCCCUCUUCCUCAUAGGACUGCUUGCUCUGGUAGCGAGCACCGCCUUUGCGCAAUAUAGCGAAGUUGUUGGCAGUUACGAUGUUGCUGGCGGGGGUGGUGCUCAACAAUGCCCUGUAGAGACAAAGCUAAAUUCAUGCAGGAAUUACCUGCUAGAUCGAUGCUCAACGAUGAAGGAUUUCCCGGUCACCUGGCGUUGGUGGAAAUGGUGGAAGGGAGGUUGUCAAGAGCUCCUUGGGGAGUGUUGCAGUCGGCUCGGCCAAAUGCCACCGCAAUGCCGCUGCAACAUCAUCCAGGGGUCAAUCCAAGGCGAUCUCGGUGGCAUCUUCGGAUUUCAGCGUGAUCGGGCAAGCAAAGUGAUACAAGAAGCCAAGAACCUGCCGCCCAGGUGCAACCAGGGCCCUCCCUGCAACAUCCCCGGCACUAUUGGCUAUUACUGGUGAUGUAGCUUCCAUUUAUGACUAGCUAAUAAACUGUCACAUACCACUGCGUGUGACAAAUAAAAGUGGUCAUGGAAUAAUUUAUGAAUAAAAUUUCAGCAUGUGCCUGCGCGAGGUGUCUAUAGCAAACAUUUCAGUAUGCCUAUAUAUGUUAAUCAAGAUAGCAAUGUUCACAUACACCCAGAAUAAUAGUUUGUGUAAUUAGUUGUGUAUGUUCUUGGUGGUGGUUUGUGUACAGAUUUGCCUUCCUUCUAACAAAAUAUGAAUACAUGGAGCUGUUCAAGCCUUAAACAUGGAAGAUAAGAGAAUGAAACGAGCCAUCCAAUUAAAUUACUAUGAGUUUGCCGUGAGGAUACCAUUGUUAGUUCAACAAAUGACUUAAAAUAAUUCCAUUUUAUUUCCUGACAUGUUAACAAGAAUGAUAUGCACCAACCACUUCAUGUAUCUUGUGCACAAGCAUCAUCAUAAUCAUCAAUCUAACAACUUGCACAAGAUGACAAAUCUAGUUUCACAGAAAAAUUAAAUCUAGAACAAACCACUAGGCCUGAACGACAUCUAAAUACAAGACAAAAAACAACACAGCUCAAACAGGGUGGCAUUUAAAAAAAAUGGUGUAUAUUAAUUAGAUAUGCUAGAGUUUAUUACUACCUCUGUACCGAAAUAUAAGACGUUUUUGUACGGAAAUUGCUUUUGGAGGCCGAGCUCCAUGCAGGCCUUCAAAUGCAAAAUUCAAAAUUCAUGAAAAUUCAUAUUUUUACAUUUAAAAAAUUCUAAAAAAUAGAGACAUACAUGAAGGCAUAAUGCACAAGUGUGUAAAUAUUCAGGACGAAAUACGUUGAAAUGAGGGCUGUGCAAAAAUAAAUCUGAGACUUGAUACUAUUCAUCCUCCCAGACCAUGAAUUUGUCUUUUUUGUAUAGGUGGCAUUUCAAUGUAUUUGAUCCUGAAAUUUUACACACAUACAACUCACACCCUUGUUUACUUGUGCAGAUUUUUUCAGAUUUUUUGAAAUCGAUAAUUUCAAAAUUCAAAAUUUUCAAAAUAUGGCCUCCAUGGAGGCCGAGAUCCAAAACGUCGUACUCAUUUUUGUAGGCUAAACUAGCCUACUAAAAUGUCUUAUAUUUUGAUAUGGAGGGGAUACAAUCUUGCAAAGUUAGUUCUAACACGGAGCUGGGCUAUCCCUUGCUUAGUACACCAUCACUCCAGACCUCACACAAGUAUUUAGUUAAACCAAGUAAUAUUUAGUUCAGACAUGGCUAUGUUAGUCGGGAGGGCAUUGGUACGCCCAGUCCACCAGAGUUCAAGCCCUAAAUUUAGCGCUUUGGUGUAUCAUAAAAGUGGAAAAUUCUUUAUAAAAGGAGUCAAGUAUUUACAAAAAGCAGGGAUGGAGAUACAGUAAACAAAUGGAACGGGCUGACAAAUUCAUCUUGUCGGGCCGUUGGACACCUUUGAUCUUUCAACGAGAUCCACCUGCGGAGCAGCAGCCUGGUCGUGGUGGGCCGAGCAGGGUGCGUGUGUGACUUGGCAAAAAAAAAAGGCGGAAGCCAGAAGUGAGACUAUCGGCAUUUCCUAUUUGGCGCGUUUAGCACUCGUUAUUUUGCAUUUUGCAAACGGGCACACACUCCCCCUCCGCAUUGGGCCGACCCAUUUGCUUUUUUCUGUUUAAACUAUAGAAAAGGUGUGCUCGCCCUGACUCGAACUCGUGAUCUCUUCAUUGAGUAUAAACCACAUUAACCACUAUGACAACUUAGCGCUUGUUCCUUCUUACUUUUUAAAAAUUUUAGUUCGCAGAAAGCCCCCGGUAGCUUCCCAACCUAGUUUUUUCCACUUUGCUGGACAGGUUUCAGACGGUUCUUAAUUGGCUUUUCUUCCUUUUUAUUUUUUCUUGUUUCUUUGUUUUUUAUUUUUUCUGGUUUUUUUCCUUUUCAUAUUUUAUUUUUUUGUUUUUCUUAAAUGCACGAUUUUGUUUCAAAAUUGAUGACAUUUUCAAUUCACGAACUUUUCUUCAAAAUUGAUGAACUUUUUAUCAAAAUCCUUGAACUUUUUUCAAAAUCAAUGAACAUUUUUCAAGAUUAUGAACUUUUUCAAUUUUGUACACUUUUUUCAAAAUUGAUGAACUUUCUUUCAAAAUAGAUCAACUUUUUAAAAAAAAUUGAUGAACUUUUUAUCAAAUCCAAUGAACUUCUUUCAAAAUCGUAGACUAUUUUAAAAUUCGUGAACUUUUUUUAGUUUGUUACCCUUUUUCAAAAUCCAUGAAAUGUUUUAAAUUCGUGAUGUUUUUCAAUUUUUGUGAUUUUUUAAAUAUUUUUUCAUUUUCUCGAAAAGACAACAGUUGACCGGUCAACCAUUUUAGCGAAAAACCAACUGCGUCUGGCGAGGGGACUACACUGUUAAUGGUUAAUGGGCCGGCCCAGUGCUGUAGCUUAGUGGGCACCAGUCUCCUAGCUGGUGCAUAAGGCGCCUGCCGAGACAGUCGGGAGGCUUGGACUGUUGACAAGUGUGAUCGGACUGCUAGAGAGCAUCCACCCGAAGAAAAGGCCGGUAGCAAGCUCAAGUUAUUCCGGGAGGCCGUGGGUGGCUUAGUUUUACUAUUUUUCAACUCAUAGUACUCUCUCCAUUUGGUAUUAAAGGGUCACCGAGUAGGAUUUGAAUUUGUGAGGCCGAUGUUAUUAUGGAGCAGUGAUUUCUCUACACCCCUUCCCCCUCCCAUAUGUGCCUUGAUUCAUUAUUUUUGAGGGUUCGAAUCAAAACCCGGAUGAACAAAGUGGUGCCAAGCUUCUUGAAUAAGAGAGUGCCCCAAAAGGUAAAAGUCGUGUUCUAUAGGAUGAAGAUUCGACCCUCAUUAUUGAAUGAUGGUUAACUAAAAGGCGACACAGGAUGAAGAUUCGACCCUCAUUAUUGAGUGAUGGUUAACUAAAAGACGACACAAGAUGAAGAUUCGACCCUCAUUAUUGAGUGAUGGUUAACUAAAAGACGACAUGUGUAGAGUUAGGUGUUGGACGUAAUAGAGUUAGUGUAGCCCUAAUUGAAGAGAAGUCUUAUCCGACAACAACGAUUAAAGCGGGUUGAUAAUGUCAAAAAAGGUCAAUAUAGACCAAACUUGAGAGGAGGCCAUAAAGGGGGGGUAAGAGUAUCACCAAAAGCCGACGAGUUGAUUUCAGGAUCACAUGGGUUUAAGCUCUUAAGCACCAGCUUGUUGGGAGGCUUUGUUGAUCUCUUUAUCCUUUGAAUCAAAAAGGACCUGACCAAAAUUUCUUAUUUCUGAAAAUGUUCAUCCCUUCCUCUAAAAACUAACUGCAGGUUUUAAAACGACCAUUACAAAUUCUAUAGGGAGGUUCCAGAAAUAUGCUACAGUGCGAUUUUGCUGUCUUUUAUAAGAGCAGUUUUUUCAUUGACCAAAGGGAUUUCCGUAAACGGAAAGAGCUGGGGAGCUAACCCCACCCAGCCGAGACGCCGAAACAGAUAUAAUACUGUCGCAUUGUACAGAAAACUAUUCCCUCCGUCCCAUAAUAUAAGAGCGUUUUUGACACUAGUGCAGUGUCAAAAACGCUCUUAUAUUAUGGGACGGAGGGAGUACAACCUAUAUAUGACAAGUAAAAUAGCCAAGCCGAUCCAAACCACUAGACUAGACAAGGAGCAACACAGUAAAAGCAUUUCUUGAAGUGAAGUAACGCGCGCGGGGUGGAUGCGGGUGACUCAAAGCAGACAUGUGUAACAGAUUAGCACACUUCUAAAUCACCUCCAUCGUCUACGUACGUCAUCUCAGUCUUUAGUCAUCUCCGUCCUCUUCGGCAUCGUCCUCACUGAUCUCGGAGUCAUCUUCAAGAUCCCCACUCGUCUCAGAGUCAUCUCCAUCCCCUUCAAGAUCCUCGCUCAUCUCGGAGGCAUCAUCAUCUCCAUCUUCAAGUUCCUCCAGACCUGCACAAAGAAACAAUGAUCCAUGAUUGGGAUAGCAAUCAUUUGUGUUAUGAAAUUCCUUUAGCCAGCAGACCCAAUAAAUGAAAAAAACAUUCCCCACUGAAAGCAUUGGAAUAAACCAGUUUAGUAGAUCUCCUACAUACCAAUCUCAUGCAAUUCAGGACACCACCUGAAUAAAUUGAAACAAGGUCGCAUUCAUUAGGUUUUGAAACAAAAAAAGACUUCUAUAAUGCAACAAGCGGAUGUUUCUAGAGUAAAGCAACAUAUACUGCAACAACAAAUCUAUACACAUGAGUGAAGAACAAGUUCACCUGUCUGUAGCAGCAAUCACUUCAUCAUGGAAAUCCUCCACCGAGUCAUAUUGAUUCAGGAAAUAAACCACCGUGGGAUCCGACACGUCAGUUCCUUGAGAUUAAUCAAAGAUAUAUUUAGUGCUGGUGAAAUUUAAAAUCCCGGCAAUAUAGUGAUCAAUUAACUAAUGAAAUGCAGUUGAAGCAUCAUAUUUUCAGCGUGCAAGUUGGGUACAAUCUUAGAAAUAAGAUGUCAACUUAAAAAGACAAAGAUCUAAUCAAGCUGGACAACGAUCUCAUAAAUAAGAUAUCAUAUGAAGCUGGACAACAAUCUUAGAAAUAAGAUGAUGUCUGUACAUGAAGUUCCAAACUGUGUUCCAGACUGAACAGACUUUUCCACAUUGUGCUGACCUUAUUGAUUCACUCUGCAUGUAUAGGUUGAAUAGACAGAGAGACGCUCCUUUUGGUUUCAUGAAUGAGGAUAAAUGUAAAGGAUUAAAAUAGCUUUGUGGUAGCAGGAUAUAUAUAGAAGAUUUAUUAAUAUAUUUUGAUGGCUGAAUGUAAAGUAAAUACAUGUGGGAUCUGGGGCAGCGCAUGCAUGUGUGGCUUAAAAAACAUUGUCGCCUGGCAAAAUGCUGGCACGAGAAGCUUGCUGGACAUGCUUGCAUGGAACUCUGACGAAUGAAGCUAUGCCUUUGGAUUGCGCUAUAAAAGUGCAAGUUUUGUUGUCUGAGUCUUCCUGUUUGGAGGAUUGAGGGAAGGGGAUCAGAGGGGCAAAAAAGAUGAGGGGUCGCAGCGGAAGGCCAGGAAUAGAGGUAACGGAGGAAAAAAAAGUUUUGACUCCAGCGGCUCGCCACAGCUGACAGGUCACCAAGAAUUUCAGUCCAAGCUUACAUGAAGAACAAUGACUGCUUCGGGUAAGAGAACAGAGGCGUGUGGAUGAGGGAUCGAUGUGAGAGAAAAGUGGUGGACGGUUACUUUAAAACGUGUCAUUAAGUAAGUAAAUUGGAUUGUUACACAAGCCAAGCUGUAGGAACAUAAUAGAGUGAAUUUCAAGCAUAAUGGACUGAUGUAAACAAGAAAUGUCUUCAAACUGUGUCAGAACAGCCUAAUAACAACAUAUACAAGACAGGCCACCACCAAGUAUAUAUGGUGCAUUCUCUGUUACAGAGCACCACAAGGCUGCCUUGGCUCACCUUCAAGCAGCGGUGUGUGUCGCCGUUGAAUGUGGACGGCGCAAAGGGCAGCUCGUGUUGUACAUGCGGGAACUUGAUUUGGUGAAGCACCGGUUUAUCGUCGAAGGGGUCGCAGGCAAGUACACAGUAGGAGAAGUCGAACCACCAGAGCAAACCUUGAUGGGUGAGAACGCCGUCACCGCGCCACACUUGUUUAUCCAAGAUUUUCGAGCAGUCGGGCUCCUUCUCGACCCACGAGUACAAGUCGACCGUGCAGAAGAGCGUGAAGAAGACAACCUCUUCGGAAAAGCACGGGUUGAGAUCGGCCACCAUGAGAAGCCUGCGGUUGUGAUCGCGGAUGAGGCCGACGCAGUGGCGGCAGUUGAAGCCGCCGUCGUGGGGGAAGAUGCCCGUCGUCCUGCGGAAGAACGGAUCGCAGAUGUAGACGGCGAGCCCGAAGGAGGCGUAACCGCAUAGCAGAAGGUGGCCGCUGCGGUCGGCGGCCGCGAUGUAGGGGUACUCGACGAGUCCGGCGGGGCUGGCGACGCUGCUCUCGACGAAUAGGCGGGAAGGUAGCGGAACCUUGUUGAAGGUGAAGACCGCGUUGGGGAAUUUCGGGGGCUUCAUGAAAUCUUCCGACACAUCCGGAACAGCGUACAUGAUGUACCACUGCUCCUCCUGCGCCGCCGGGGCCAUUGCUCCUAGGGAUGGGGAUGGGAGGGAGGAGUUGGAUCGGUUAGGGUUCCCUGAGAUGUGUGCGGGGACGUGCAAUGUGGUCGAUGGGAGUUGGUUUUUUUUUAGGGGGGAAAUCUUGCCGCUUUAUAUUUAACUAAACAAAGUUUGGGAUCUCAUCCGAAAUUAUAUCAAGAAUAAAGUCUGGUGGAGAAUCCACCCAAACAACACUUCUUUCUCCUACUCCUACCCUAGCAAGCUUAUGCACGGCAGUAUUCCCAGUACGACGAACCCAAGACACUUUGUACUCCGUGAAAGAGUUAAGCAUCUCGUUGAUCUCCUGAACCCAUGGUCCAACGGCAGACAAAUUCCGAGUAGGUUGAUUUAUCAUCUGCACAACCGACUUGCUGUCGAGUUCCACAUGCACUCUCGGUACCUGUCUCUCCAGCGCCAUCUGGAUCACCUUCCUGCAAGCGAGGACUUCCGCAGCUUCUGGAUCGAUGAUGUGUGGGUAGAACUGACAAGCCCCCACUAUAUAUGCUUCUUGAUGAUCUCUCAACACCGCUCCGCCUCCACCUUUGUCAUUAUGCCGAGAAACCGCACCGUCCACCUUUGUCAUUAUGCCGAGAAACCGCACCGUCGGCGUUGAGCUUAAUCCAUCCCUCAUCUGGUGGUUCCCAUCGCUGUAUCACCAUCGGCUCCGGGACCGGCCUGCUCUUCUCAUGCGCCAGCUUCCAUUCUGCAAGGUGUAGCUUAACCUCCAUCGCUAUUUCAUGUGGUGCGCCAUUCUCUUCCCAUCCCUCGCUUCGUUCCUCGCAAGCCACAGACUAUAGACAGCCUGGAUCAUGAGCUCCUUCUCCUUCCCAGCCGCCCAGACGAACCAGCCCAAUAGCCAAGAGGCAACUGCAUUCUGGGAGUGAAUCUGGCACAGCGGGAUCUCCACCGCUGCUCCCAAUUCCGAACACAAUGCCUUCCAGAACUGGAUUGAAUGCUGGCAUGUCCAAAAACGGUGAACCACCGUCUCUUCUCGUCCACAUGCCGCACAAAAAACAACCGGUUUGAUCCGACGAUGAAACAACUCCGACCCAACUGCUAGACCAUUGCGAAUAAGGCGCUACAUGUGGAUCUUGGUCUUCCCCGGAGCACUAGUUUCCCACAAUGCCAUGAAACCCUUGUGUCUGUGGACUGAAGAAGAGGACUCCGGCCGUCCGGACCUCGUUUGGUUUAUUCACAUACGCAGGUGGUACGCACUCUGAACCGAGAAAACACCAUUCUUCGUCAUGUUCCACGCUAAAAAAUCAUCCUCUCCGUGGCCUUCGAUUGCAAUCUGCUGAAUAUCUGCUGCAUCUCCCGGGGUGAACAUGGCAUCCACACGGGCUUCAUUCAGCCAGCCCCAUCGGGCAGGAGGAGAUCUGCCACUUUCGUUACUCCCGGCAUAUAUGUUUGUCCCAAAGGCUUCGUACUCCCCUCUCGUGGUAUCCAAGGAUCAUGAUGGAUGUUAAUUCUGGUUCCAUUCCCAAUUCUCCAUAUGAGUCCUUCCCGGAGUAGAUCUCUCCCAUGCAGCACACUCCUGAACGUGUAGGACCCCGAAGACGGACAUGAAGUCGUAAGGAUAGAGUCAUCCUUGAAAUAAAGUGCUUUGAGCACCCGUGCACAUAACGAGUUAGGCUCCUAUAGGAUGCGCCAAGCUUGCUUGGCCAGAAGGGCUUGGUUGAAAGCUUCCGGGUCACGAAAACCCAUGCCACCAUCCCUCUUACUAGCACACAUCUUCUUCCACGAUAUCAAUGAACCUUCCAUUCACCAUUCAUUGCGCCCCACCAGAAUUUAGAAGAGACAGAAGUCAGGUUCCGGUACAUCUUCUUUGAGAGGCGAAAACAACUCAUGGUAUAGGUAGGUGUCGACUGGUGGCCAGAUUUUAUCAAAACAUCUCUUGCUGCCUUUGAGAGGCCUUGACAUUUCCAUCCACUCACUUUUCCUUUCGAGCUUUCCGUAACAUGCUUAAAAACCCCAUCUUUUGAUCUUCUAACCAGUGUUGGAAGACCAAGAUAUCUCUCACUAAGAGCUUCAGAUUGAAUGCCACAAAUAUUUUUGACUUGUGUCUUGGUCUGCUCUAUGCAUCCCUUCCCAAAGAAAAUAGAGGACUUUUUUCAAGUUAAUUUUUUGUCCAGAAGCUUUUUCAUACUUGAUCAAUAUCUCACACAAAGUCUCCAUAUUUUCCUUGGUUCCUUCCAGGAACACAAUGCUGUCAUCCGCAAAUAGGAGAUGUGUUAUAUGGGGGCCAGUGCUCCCAAACGACACACCUUUCAGAUUUUUGUCCUCCUUUGCUUUAUUGAGAAGAGCAGAGAAACCCUCCACACAAAAUAAGAAUAAGUACGGUGAAAGCGGGCCACCCUGCCUGAGUCCUCGCGUGGGCUUGAAUCUCCUCGAUAGACCACCAUUUAACUUGACAGCAAAUUGCGUCGACGUAACACACCUCAUCACCAUAGCCACCCCACAUAGGAUGAAAACCAUACUGUACCAUCAUCUGUUCAAGAAAAACCCACCGCACCCUAUCGUAGGCCUUCAUCAUGUCCAGUUUUACCGCACAAAGAGUCUUUUUCCUCUUACGAGUCCGGAUAGCAUGAACACACUCAUACGCUACAAGGACAUUAUCCGUAAUGAGGCGACCCGGAACAAAGGCACUCUGUUCCUCAGAGAUAAGAAUAGGGAGUAUCCCUUUCAAUCUGUUAGCAAGAACCUUUGUCGCCAUUUUAUACAGAACAUUACACAGGCUAAUGGGGCGAAACUGUGAUAGCAGCUCCGGCGAGUUUACUUUGGGGAUCAUCACAAUGAUAGUGGCGUUGAACUCCUCCGGUGUUGCUGCUCCAUUCAAGAAGUCACGAACCGCCUGACACACAUCGUUUUCUACCAGUGGCCAGUGCCUCUGAUAAAACAGUGCGGGAAGCCCGUCCGGCCCCGGGGCCUUUGUAGGGCCCAUCUGAAAAAGUGCCACCUCUAUUUCAUCAUCAGUGAUAGGUGAGGUGAGCUUAUGAUUCAUCUCCGGAGUGACUAAGAGUGCAAUGUUCUGUAACAGCCCUUCGGUGUCCACUGACCCCUCGGAUUUGAACAAGUGUUCAUAAAAACUCACAGCCAUCUCUCUCAUAUCCUCAUCUACCGUGCACCUUGUGCCAUCAUCCUUCCUCAAAGCCUUCACAGUGUUUUUCCUCUUGCGAUGAGAAGCACGGUUUUGAAAGUACUUAGGGUUUUGAUCCCCAGCCUGUAGCCAGUCCACACGUGAUUGCUGUUUGUAUAGUAGCUCUUCCCGCGCAUAAAUCUCCCUUAGUUGCUCCUCCAAAUCCCGGACCUCUAGUGAGGAUCCAGUCUGAAGGUCUCUGGUUCGGGCAUCGAGCAGUUGCACUUUGAGCUUCGCUAUCUGUCGACGAAUGGAGCCAAAAACUUCCCGCGCCCAUCGCUGCAUAUUACCUGUCGUCGUGCAUAACCUACUCCACACCGCUAUGAGCGAAUGAUCACCCGUUGCUGCCGCUUCCCAAACCUCCUGAACCAUAGCAUCAUAAUUUUUGUGCCUCGUCCAUGCUUCCUCGAAUUGGAAAGCUCUCGGUCCCCUCCUCUCAGUACGCGGAGCCGUCUCCAACGCCUGAAUGAGGAUGGCCUGAUGGUCUGAUUCCUCCGUGACCAAGUGUUCGACAGAGGUCUCUGGGAACAUGUCUAGGAAGCUCGCCAUGCACGUCGCCCUGUCCAGUCGGACUUGGAUGUUAUCCUCCCCAUCCCUCUUAUUAUUCCAUGUAUAGGGCUACCCCGAAAAACUUAAGUCCGCAAGGCCACAAUCAGCCAAGCAAUCUCGGAAAUCCUCCAUCUGUGCAAACGGCCUCGGGUUGCCCCCCUUAUGAUCUGAUUGAAACAGGGCUUCAUUAUAGUCCCCAGCACAAAUCCACGGCAAGUUGUCUUGCGCCCUCAAUUACCUGAUAGCGUCCCAAGAUUUUUUACGAAGUUCCGUUUUUGGCUCCAUGUAGAAACCAAUGAAUCUACAGGUUUUGCCCUCCCACACCAUCUCCGCAUCAAUGAAAUAUUGGCUCCAUGGCCUAAUAGUCAUAGUGACUGAGUCUCUCCACCAUAGUGCCAAUCCUCCGCGAAGCCCCACACAAUCAACUGCUACUCCUUGCUUAAACCCUAGCCUCCACUUUAAUCGCUCCAUUGCUCUCGCCUUCUUCUUUUGUCUCGCAAAGAAAAACCACCGCCGGGUUGUAGGACCGUAUCAGGUCUCUUAAUUCGUCAACUGUCGAGUCCAACCCCAAUCCUCGACAGUUCCAGGCCAAGAGAUUCAUGGCGUCCGGCGGCCCCCCACCUCGGGAUCUGCCGAUAUGUCCUGGUUUUCGGAGAUGCGAUCAAACACAGUAUUCGUUUUCUGUCGCUUAUCACGAAUGAAAGCCUCAUUUGAAGUCUGUCUGUCAGGGUCAUCCUUUGCCACCCAAAAUUGCUUCGGCCCCCUCUUGCGUCCACCGUAAUCAUACCUUGGCAGGUUCCUGGCAAAUUGCACCUCUCUAUACUCCUGCCUUGGCUUUCUAACAUAGUGCCCCUUGGUCCUGUUCCUGCCGCGCUCCUCCCCUGGCCCGAACCGGCUCUGGUCAUCACCUCUGAAUUCACCCAAGUUUUGUAACCGUCCCGCAAACCUUCUCUCCCUCUCCGCAUGCCCCGGGCUGCCAUCAUGAUAGACCUGUUGCUUCUCUUGUAACUUGUUCCUCAGGUCCUUCUCUCUCUUUUUUUCAAGGCCGUGUCGCAGGUCCAGCUCCCUGGCCUCCCCCCGUCAUUCCCAGUCCUUUAUGGGGUUGUUUAUUUCCCCCCUCAUUGAUCUAGAACCACCGCCAGUGCGGGGAUCCGUCGAUCGUGAUAGUUCCUCAUUCAAGUUGCGUUUAAUUGGUAUAUCCUGUUUUCCUUUACUCUGGCGUCCCCGGUCGAUGUCGCCGAUUCUGCCACUACCCCAACUGUUAUUGCUGCUCAUAGACUGGCCAAAGGACCCCUCCUUUUCAUUUCCUUUCCUGCUGAGUGAUGCUCUAAGCCAUCCGCCCCAUUGAGCCGAUGAGUCCGUUGGAGGUACACAAACGCCUCCCGCAUGCACUAACCGGCCACAUUCAAAGCAAAAAUGAGGGAUUUUUUCGUAAUGAAAAUCAAACCAUGGCCCAUCCUUGUCAUCCCGUGAGGUUUGAGGUAAAAACCUCUCACCAGAGGCUCGAACAUAGAAAUUCUUGCUCUCACCCUUAGAUUGUUGCCUCUGGCCACCCCCUCACUGUCACAGUCAACUCGAACAAUGUCCCCCAACCAGUUGCCUAAUGCCUUACCAAACUUUUCAGUUCUCUUAUCUGGGGGUAGAUCAUCCACCCGGACCCAUACCUCUAUAGAAUCAAAAACCAUCUCAGACGGUCGUUUAUUUUCUUCAUAUUCCUUGAGAAUAAGCACGCUGAAAUUGUACUGCCAGGGUCCGUUGUUCAUUGCAUGUUUAUAAUCCCCCUCACUUCCAAAGUGCACCUCAAACACAUUCGAUCCCAGGUCUCGAAAUCUUGCUUCUCUGUGCAGUCCCCACGCUCUCGUCAUCGUUCGUUCCAAAGCGCUCCUGAUCAUUGGUCUGUUUGAACAUACCUUCCCAACUGCUGACCAUCUUGAGCUUUUGGGUAGCACCUCCUCCUGAUCAUCAAACACCAAACCUUCCGCCUCCUUAUCCAUCAGUACCAUCCCACCCAUCCUUGCCGAAAGACUCGACAUCGGAUCCGGGGUUUUUCUCUCAACUGGGGAUUUUGAAGAACCCCUGCUCAAUGAAUCUCCCGUCUUGCGCACCGGCGUAGCCAUCGCAGCCCGAGUUGUACCAGCCGGUGUUUUGUUCCGCUGUGCCGACACCCCCGGCGCCGUCGCCGGAGGCGCGGUUCCUCGCUGGUUUGUGGAGACCGACGCCGUAGCCACAGAUUUUGGCAUCGAAAAGGCCAUCUUCUCCUUCAUCGUAGCCUCACCCUUAGCAGGUGUAGGCCCUCCACGUUUCUGUGAGAUCGCCGCCGCCGCCGUAGAUGCCAUUGCCCCUGAAGCCGCCGUCGUCUUCUCUGGUGCUUUCUCCACCAUGGCUCCGCCCGCAGCAGAGAGGGAAACACCACCGAUCCGGGACUGAGUCAGCACCGUCGCCUUCCCGAUCCUGAUCGGAAUCUCUCUCACCCCCGUAGCGAAAACCCUAACCCUAGCACGCGAGCGCAAUCGCCUCACGUCACCUUAGCGUUUUCCCACGUGGUGGACCCCGGGGAGUUGGUUUCUUUAAGGAGUAUGUUUCAAGUUUAUUUUUCUUUCUUUAAGGAGUUCUUGUUUUGAAAAUUGUUCGGAAACUUCAAAAAUGUUUGCGCUUACAAAAAAUUUCAAAUUUUAUAAAAAUGGGUGUGUUUUCAAUUUUUUUUUCCUAAAUUCAAAAAUUGUUUCCAUUUUUAGAAUUUGUUUCGGAAUUUCUAGAAACGUUCCAUUUUUCUGAAAAUGUUUGCAUGUUUUUGUUCUUGUAUUGAAAACUUGAUCACGAAUUCAAGAAAUGUUCUUCUUUCAAAUUGUUGGUCAUGUAUUAAAAAUAUGUUCAUGUUUCAAUCUUGUUGGGAUUUUCAGAAUUGUUCUCCCUUUCAAAAUUGUUCUAAAAAUUCAAAAUAUGUUCGUUAUUUUAAAAAAAAUCCCCGUUUUGAAAACAAUUCUCAUAACGCGAAAAAAGUUCAUGUUUACAAAAAUGUUAAGAAUAUUAAAAAUUGUCCCUGUUUAUAAAUGAUGUUCACGUUUUAAAAAAAUGUUUGGGAAUUUCAAAAAAUGUUCGUGCUUCUCAAAAAUUGUUCAACAAUUCAAAAAAUGUUCCCAUUGUGAAAAACUGUUCAGAAUAUUAAAAAUUGUCUCACAAAUUCAGUAAUGUUUGUGUUUUCAAAAAAUGUUCGGGAAUUUUGAAAAAAGUUCAACAAUUCAAAACAGUAAACAGGCACUCUCGCUACAGCACCCACUAUUGGGCCGGCCCAGUCACGGGGUCCCUGUGCGUCGGUCGCGUGGCUGUUCGAGGCAAAACGCGUCGAAUAGGAGCUCCUGAGCUCCUGUAUGACGCUUGUUAGCGUCAAACAGAAGAGCUUCCGCACAGGGCUCGCGCAAACGAGCCGUCCCAUUGAUAGGCCAAUGUAAGAAAAAAAGUAACGAACGAAAAAUCAUAGCGCUAGUUGGUUUCCAACUUGCGACCUUGCACUGGAUAGCCACGUCGAAUGCCACUCCCGCUAGCAACUGGUAUUAUUUUUAACUAUAUCGUAAACUUCAAGUACCAUGUACAGCGGCAGAUCGGUUUUUUAAUCUUCAUUCAAAAAAAAUGAAUAAUGUUUUCUUGAACAAAUUUUGAAACUCGAACAAACUGUUAAAACAUAUUUUUUUAAAACUUACAAAUCAUUGAAAACAUGAACACAAAUUUAUUACUUUUUUAUAUACGAUGAAUGAUUUUCAAAUAUACACUGAACAUUUUUUAGAUGUACGAUGAACAAUUUUGAAGAACAUAGUGAACAUUUUCGUGAUAUACACUGAACAAAACUUAAAACAUAAUGAACAUUUUUGUGAUAUACCAUGAACAAAUUUUGAACAUUCAACAUUUUUAUAAUAUAAUCUGAACAAUUUUUAACCACGCAUUGAACAAUUUUGUGAUAUGCGCUGAAAAAACAUUUAAAUACCCAUUAACAUUUUGUGAUAUACACUGAACAAUUUUAAAAUUUUAACAAAAUUUGAAAAAGUUAAUAAAAUUAUAGAAAACUGUGAACGCGUUUUGAAAUAACGAAUUUCGUUGGGAUUUCGAAACAUUUUCUUGAAAACAAAGUAUAAAAAUAGAAACGAAAAAUGAUAAAAUGAACGGAAAGGAAAAUGAAAAGAAAUACAAACAAAAACAGAAUAAAAUAGAAAUAAAAAAUGAAACAGGGAAAAACCAGCAAAACAUUGAACAUUUUUGUAAAAAAAUACGCUGGAAAUUUUUUAGCUAAACAUUGAACAUUUUUGUGAUAUACACUGAACAAAUAUUUAAAUAUACAUUGAACAUUUCUGUGAUAUACGAUGAAGAAAGUUUUGAAUUGUGACAAUUUUUUAAAAAAGUGAUUUUUUGGAAACCAUUAACAUUUUUUUAUAUCAUGAACAAAAUUAUGAAUUUCAAACUUUUUGAAAACAAAGAAUAAACAAAUGAAAAAGAACAGAAGCAGAAAAAAAGGAAAAAAGAAAACAGGCAAAAAGGGAAAACCGACAAAAAGAAAAAAACAAAAAAACCCGGUUAAGGGAACCUUCUAGAAGGUUCCCAAAAUUGGUUGCCAGGAGCUGCUUUAAACGCUCGUUAUGGGCCAGCCCAUUUCGCACGCGCUUCAGCAAAAGCGGCGCAGCUGGACGCUCGCGCCCGUCACAUAGGGUUCGCCCCCCCCCCCCAAGGGCGUUUUUAGGCAAAAAAAAUAGCGCAUGUUGGGGUUGGCCGGUACUGUUUUUGGCGUGGGAGGCUCGGGGAGUUUCAACUCAAAUUCGGCACGAAUUCGUUACACUUCGGCACAAAUUCAGCAAAGAAUAAUUUUUAUCGCAUAGUUUAUCACAAAUAUUAGUACAAAUCAAAUAGUUCAACGAAGCAAGCUUAUAAUUCGAACACAAACUAAAACACAUCAAACUAGGCGUUGCCUUUGAGCCUCCAUAGGUGCUCCACCAGAUCGUGCUGCAGUCCUUAUGCACAUAUAGCUCUCGGAUUCCUAACGCAUAUUGAGGAAGGCAGCCCAUGCUACCGGUACCUGGUAAUCAACACCUGCAAUAUGGUUCAGUGUCAAACACUGGCUCGUCCUGCUCGCUCUCAAUGAUCAUGUUGUGCAAGAUGACACAUCAAUUCAUCACAUCCCACAUCUGAGAUUUCGACCAGGCCAGAGCGGGGUACUAGACAACAGCAAAUCGAGAUUGGAGCACACCAAAUGCACGCUUGACAUACUUCCUGCAAGCCUCCUGACACUUAACAAAGCAGGAUUUCUUGCCUCCUGGCACAGGGUUUGAGAUAGUCUUCACAAAUGUUGACCAUCUUGGAUAGAUGCCAUCUGCUAGGUAGUAUCCCUUGUUAUAGUGGCGCCCAUUGACCUUGAAGUUCACCGGAGGAGCAUGACUUUAACAAGCUUGGCAAAGACAUUCGAGCACUGCAGGACGUUGAUGUCAUUGUAAGUUCCUGGCAUACCAAGAAGGAGUGCCAAAUCUAGAGGUCCUUUGUAUUGCCUCAAGUACCACACCGCAAGCUCCUUUCGCUCCUUUCUACAUUCCCUGCCAGGCAAAUGGACAGUUUUUCCAUGCCCAAUCCAUGCAUUCGAUGCUUCCAAGCAUCCCAGGAAAUCCUCUUGCUUCUGUGCUAGGAUCCGAGCAGUGUCUUCAGCAUUGGGUGACCGCAAGUAUUCUGGUCCAAACACUUCCACCACUGCCCUGCAGAACUUGUACAAACACUAGGCCAUGCGUCCAAAUCUCUAGUCGCAUGUGCUUCUACCUCGCCGACAAACUGGAAGGGAUGGCCUUCCCCAACCCGGGGCUCUACACCCAUGUGAAGGGCAAGGAACAGUAGCAAUAGGUUGCUGAGGAUUUUGAGAAAAUCAAAUAGUGUUCCGGAGAAUUUUGUGAAUCAGAUGAACAACUAGGAAUGAACAAAUCCUUAAUACGUGUGAGGAUUAUUCGUAGGCGUAUUCAUGCAACAAAUAUCUAUAAGGCAGUGGCACAAGGGAUUCUUAAAAAGUUGGAGAAUAAUUUGAUGCACCUUGUAAUAACAAGAGCAGCUGGGAAUGAAAGUAAGAACGACAGGUGUAUGUAUUUAUCCAUAGGGAUAUAUCAGUGGUAGGGGAUUGCAAAAGCGACGGGCACAGAGUCUCGAGAGAGCAUCGGAGAGUAUCUUCGAAAUCUUCUGGUGUAGCAGGCGAUCAUCUGGACUGAAUGGGCUCUCCGGGAGAAAGUAUUUUCGAGAACCUAAAGUUAGAUUUUUAGCAAAAUUAUUUAAACCGAAUAUAAGAGAUAUCAGAACCCCAGAGUAUAGACGAGGAAUAAAAGAUCCUAAUACCACCCAAAUGGCUACAUGGACCCGUAAGCCACACAACCAUGUUAGCAAAAAGUUAUUCAAUGACUAGACUCAACUUCGGCCAAGGAGUUGGAAAGGGGGAUUCCUACUGGCAGUCGGCUCUGAUACCAACUUGUGACUCCCCUGAUUUGACCAUACACAAAUCAUACACGCAAAUGCGUACGACCAAGAUCAGGGACUCAUGGGAAGAUAUCACAACACAACUCUAGACACAAAUUAAAGUCAUACAAGCUUUAUAUUACAAGCCAGGGGCCUCGAGGGCUCGAAUACAUAAGCUCGAAAGCACAAUAGUCAGCGGAAGCAACAAUAUCUGAGUACAGGCAUAAGUUAAACAAGUUGUCAUAAGAUGGCUAGCACAAACAGGGAUAAAGAUCAAAAAGGCAAGGCCUCCUGCCUGGGAGCCUCCUAACUACUCCUGGUCGUCGACAGCCUCCACGUAGUAGGAGCAUCCGUCGGGGAUUUAGUAGUCGUCAGCGGUGGCAUCUGACUCCUAGGCUCCAACAUCUUAUCGCAACAUCCGGAAAGUAGAGAGAAGGGGGAAAUGGGUAGCAAAGCAACCGUGAGUACUCAUUCGAAGUACUCGCAAGACUUACAUCAGAUCUAAACUACAUAUGCAUUGGUAUCAAAUGAAUGGGGUAAUAUCUGUGGACUAAACUGCAGAAUGCCAGAAUAAGAGGGGGAGAAGCUAGUCCUAUCAAAGACUACGCUUCCAGUAACCUCCGUCUUGCAGUAGUAGAAGAGAAUAGCAGAUAAGUAUCAACACAUAGCAUAACCCACCUGGCGAUCCUCUCCUUGUCACCCUGUGAGAGAGCGAACACCGGGUUGUAUCUGGAAGUUAUCUGGGUGUGCUUUAUUAAGUCGGCUGGUACAUCAUCCUCCCAUAGGAGGCCUUUGCAUCUGGGCGUGUGUGGCCUAUUUUCAUUUCACCCCAGUUAUUCCAUCGAACUAAGUAGCAACAUGUAAGGAGUCAGUUUUCGAGAUACCACACAACACCAAUUUUCCAACGAAACUAAUGAGAAAUAAAAAGGUGCAUCACUCAUUUUCGACCAAAUUAAUUAUGUCUUGGUAUUAGAGUUUUCUCUCUCUGUCCUGAUAAACCCAAACGGAGGGAGUAAAGAUUAUCUAUCUCAACAUCACAUGAUUCUAAAUACAAAACAGAAAACCACGGCUAGAAGAGGACGACAUCUAGAGGCAUUGCUUUUCAUGUACUAAUACCUUGUUAAACACAUUCUCUAACAAAUUGGUUUGGAUCCUUCUUCAACAAUUUCCACACACUACAAGGCCAGUUCACAAAAGCUUAAAGCGUGAGCAUUGGUACAAAACUAGUUGUGGUCUAUCUUGAGAAAAGGGAACACUUAGUACACGAAACGUCACCUGUCUCAACAACUUGCACCAUUUCUGUUGGCUCGCAAAGUAACUUUAUUUAGUAUACCAACUUAAUUUGUGAGCAUUAGCCAAAGCAACACACAAUGGUAGGCAAAAACCAUGUCACUAAGCAAUAAAUAAAGGGGAGCCUCAACCCAUCUAUUCAUCUCCACCACCACCAAAACAACAUUGAAAACAUGAAGACCUUAUUCCUCCUAGCUCUCCUUGCUCUUGUAGCGAGCACAACCUUCGCGCAAUACUCAGAAGUUGGCGGCUGGUACAAUGAAGUUGGCGGAGGAGGUGGUUCUCAACAAUGUCCGCAGGAGCGGCCGAAGCUAAGCUCUUGCAAGGAUUACGUGAUGGAGCGAUGUUUCACAAUGAAGGAUUUUCCAGUCACCUGGCCCACAAAAUGGUGGAAGGGCGGCUGUGAGCAUGAGGUUCGGGAGAAGUGCUGCAAGCAGCUGAGCCAGAUAGCACCACAAUGUCGCUGUGAUUCUAUCCGGCGAGUGAUCCAAGGCAGGCUCGGUGGCUUCUUGGGCAUUUGGCGAGGUGAGGUAUUCAAACAACUUCAGAGGGCCCAGAGCCUCCCCUCAAAGUGCAACAUGGGCGCCGACUGCAAGUUCCCUAGUGGCUAUUACUGGUGAUGAUAUAGCCUCUAUUCGUGCCAAUAAAAUGUCACAUAUCAUAGCAAGUGGCAAAUAAGAGUGCUGAGUGAUGAUCUAUGAAUAAAAUCACCCUUGUAUAUUGAUCUGUGUUCGAGAUACCUGUGUAUUGAGUUUGUUGGUGGUGGUUUGUGUGCAUGUGUGUGCUUCUUUAACAAUAAUAAAAAUAUACAACUUGUUCGAUACUUCACAAGAAGGAGAAGAAGAUUAAAUGAUUCAUACAAGACAACUAUAUUUUGUAUCUAACAUGAUUAUUCUCUCUUUUUUUAGUCUACCAGAUAGCUAAAAGAAAUCUAUAGUAGUCAUUGACAUGUUAAUCGAACCCACAAAUUUGUAUGCACAACCACUCCAUGUAUCUUCUGCACUAUAACCUUAUUCGUCCAUCCAACAACUUGCUCAAUAGUACAAAUCUAGUUUCACCAAAUGUUUAAAUCUAUGGAAGUGAAACUUGCUCACUUGGUUAUGAGAGCAGAUGUACAACCCCACCAUCUGGGUUCAAAGUAUUCGCCGUAGGGAUCUCCUUUGUAAUUUGUUUGAACAAUUGUAUCAACCUCUUUUCUGCGGAAAAAAAAAUCUGGAACAACCAGGCAUGAACCAAAUGAUUAUAAAUACAUGAAAAAACUAAACCAUGGCUCAGAUAAGAUGUCAUCUUGAUUCACUAAAUUUUCUACAUGGAAUCUUAGUGCAUUCCUUAUCAUGUACUGCUAGUUUGUAAGACACAGUCUCCAAUAAAAAAAUACACCAAUUGUAUCUUUUUAGGAUAAAUAUCUAAUAAUUUGGUCUAGAUCCAUCUUUAACAACUCACGAAACACUACAAAAUUAGUUCCGCAAAAGCGUUCGAAACUUUGGUACGGCAUUACUUAUGGUCUAUCUGCAAAUCUUUAUGUGCUUUUAAACUAACUUUUUUCGGCAUCUAACUAAAUUAGCAUGCACUCAGCAAAUCAACACAUAAGAUAGAAGAAAUCGUGUCACCUCAUCGUAAGUACAGAGAGGCCUCAUCUAAUCUCUAUGCAUCUUCACCACCAACAGGACACCAUUGACAAAAUGAAAACAGUCUAGCUGCUUCAUGUAGAUCUCGCUCCUUGCUCUCACAGCAAGCAUCGCCUUCAUAGUUCAUGUUGUACAAGGAAGUUCAGACAGGGGUGGAUAUGCGGCAUGCGCGAUGCAAGAAGGACCAGAUGAUUCUUGCUCGGGGAAGGCGCUCUGAAUCCACUCAAUCACUAGUAACUAGCCUAUAUACAGUGCUAGCCGAUUUGGUUCUCCCUAGCCGCCCCUCCUCCUCUUCUCUUCCUCGCCGCCGCCUGAGGCAGCCGCCGGGCAAGCCCGGGGCGCCAAGGAUGGUGGCGGCGGGGCCUCGGUUGCCCUGCCUCUGCGUGGGGAACCCCGGAUCUGGAGCGGCGGCUUCAUUGGCAAGGCACGGCCGGCUAGCAGCCGUGCGGGCGGUGGAUCUGGCGUCCCGGCCGCACGGGCGGCGGGAUCCGGUGGUCGUUGGCGGCCGGCGGCGGUUUUUGCGGUGGCCGGUGCGCGCGAUCUGGCGUCUCCCCUCCUCCCCUGUUUGGCGUGCAGGCCAACCUCGUCGGGCCGCGCUUCCUUGGGUCGCCGGUUCUGUACAGGAGGCGCUGGUGGUGGCGGGGAUCUAGUUCGGGAGAAAUCCCUGGUCGGCCAUGGCCGGCCACGUCGACGGCGACGUCUGAGGGCGUCGUUCCCCUUCCCCUAGGUCUCCCGGGCGAAAGCCCUAACUUUAUUGGUCGGCGACGGCGCUCACGGCGCCGUUCCCUUCUUGAAGGCGCCGCUUUGGGAACCUUGGGGCUGGGUGGCGCUUGUGGGUGGUGGGCGACGGCGGUGGUGCGGCCCUAUCCUAGCAUGGAUCUGCGUCCGUUGCUUGGAGAUGGACUCACGUAGGUGGAGAUCGUCGUUUGGCGUCAUGGUGACGUCGAUGGCGGAGGCACCUACCAAGGUUGGCACCUCAAUCUGCUCUGAAGAUGGACUAGUGGAAGAUGGCGGCGACGACACAUGUGAGUGCGUCAGACCGGUUUGUGCCCCGGACCCGGUACGUGGCUUGGUCGGGGCCUCCGGCUUUAGAUGUUAGGCUUAGGUGAGAGGUCUGGGUAUUUGGCCCAGCUUGCACCCCUUCAUCAUAUGGAUUGGAGUAGCGGCAGAUGUUGCCAAGAUGGCGGAUUCAGGCAUAUUGUUGUACUACUUUGUAAGGUCCUCGAGAAUAAUCAAUAAAAUGGCCGUAUGCAUCUCCCAGAUGCAGAGGCCGGGGGUCAUCCUCCUUUUCUAAAAAAAAAAAAAAAAACUAGCUCAUUCGGUUUAUACUACUCAGCCAUAAAUAGUUCAGGUACCCGCUUCGAUUUGGUUCAGCCAAGUACUACUAGCUUCAUGACGUAUGAUUUUCUUGGUAUGAUAGGAAACUAAAAGCAAGAUAAGACACGCCACACAUCUCCCUCAUGGUGUAGAGUACAUGAAGCACCAUCGAUCUAUUUAAGUACCACAUGAUUCCAAAUAUAUGACAAAGCAAAAGCAUGUCUGGCUAGAAGAAUACAUCAUCUAGUGAAUCACUAGCGUGUACAACACAAUCUCUAACAAACUCGGUACAAGAUAGGAACAUCUGGAUUCAUCUUGUGGAGUCCUACUAGUCUUAUUUCACAAAAGAACGGAGCAAGAAGCUUCACACCAUAUGGUUUUCUUGGUAUGAAUAUGAUACAAAACCAAAGUGAGAGAGGACGCGCCACACAUCUCUCCUCAUGUUACAAUACAUGAAACAACAUCAAUAUGUUUUAGUACCACGUGAUUCUAAAUGCGUGACAAAUCAAAAGCAUGGCUGGUUAGAAGGGGGCAACACUCUUAUGCAUUACUUAUCAUGUGCAUGUUCAGUUCCACAGAAAAAUAAGGUCUUAAGCAUUGCUACAACAUUACUUAUGGUUUAUCUUGAGAAAAAGAGAAUGACGAUAACACCAUCUGUGCCAACAACUUGAACACUUGUGUGCAUUUGCAGAUCAAGUUACUUUGAUUUAGUACCCCAACUAAAUAUGUAGGCACUAGACAAAGCAAUAGACAAUUAAUGGCACAAGGAAAUUGUGUCGCCUCAUCUAUAAAAAAGAGGGGUCUUAUCUCAUAUAUACAUCUUCACCAAUCACCACCACCAAAACAGUAUUGACAACAUGAUGGCCUUCUUCCUCCUAGUUGUCCUCGCUCUCUGGUAUUAAGCACCGCCUUUGCACAAUACGCGGCGGCAGGGUACGCAGCCGAUGAUGGUGGGGCUAGUGUUGACCAGUGCCAACGGGACCAGAAGAAAUUGGACUCUUGUACGGAGUACGUGAUGGAACGGUGCACGGAUAAGAAGUUUCCGCUCACCAUGCCCUGGAAAUGGAUGCACGCCCCUUGCAACAGGGUCCACAAGCAGUGUUGUGGGCAGCUGGGGCAGUCGCCACAAUGUUUUUUUUGAACAAUCUUAUUAAUAUUUUUUUUGAACAAUCAAAAAAUUUUGUUUGAACAAUCAGUCGCCACAAUGUCGCUGCUAGGCCAUCAAGAAAGUUAUCCAAGCCGAGCUCUUCUAACUUUUCAGCAAGGUUAGAAAUCUAAGGCGAUUCAGAGGGCGACGAUGUUGCCCUCCGAAUGCUGGUUGUUUCCAUACGACUGCAUAAUGAAGGAGAUAAUUGAUAUUUCCUCCUGCUUCCGACGACCAAGCCUCCUGAACCAGGUCACAAGCAGCAGCCAACAGCCACUAGCGACAUGGUCGGACCAGACUGCCAAAGCCAAGUGAAGCUAUCUUUGUAAUCUUAGUUGUUGAUCCACAGUUCCACACUAUCUAUCAAUUUUUUUUACAAAGAUACUCCUUCAUGUCAACUACGGAGUAUUUGGUUAGUCAAGCGUACAGCUUCCAUGUGUUUCUCUGAUUCAAAAACUAAAAUACAACCCUCUGCUGCAGAUUUACCAUGAACCCUGCUAGGCAGAGACAUUCAGAGACGUGUUUAUGGGAGAUAUUCAGUUAUCUACAAGAAGAUGCGGCUUUCUACGUACACUAUCCUUUCAGGCUUUCACCAUGGAACCUCUCAGUCAAUUAGGUAUCCAGCCCGUGUCGGCUAUUCUUGACGCCAUACAACAUAGAUUUGAGCCUCAAGCCCAACCAAUCAUUCACAUGGAAUUGUCAUUUCCUUCCCAAAUCACGGAGAAGCCCAUACUCUGUAGUGCUUGAUUAUUUUCCAGAUGAUAUAUGAACUUAAUGGACGACCUAUCAGAAUUCACCUGUAUGCAUGGCCCGCACAUAAUAUUGCAUAUCUAAUUUACUUAUUCAUCACAUGUCAGAGCAUUUUUCUCCCUCCUUUAAAGCUACAUGGAUCCCCUUUCGUUAAGGCACGGUCGUCUUGAAGAGUUACUCCCUAUGUAAAAUAAUAUAAGAGCGUUUAGAUCACUAGAGUAGUAGUGAUCUAAACGCUCUCAUAUUUAUUCACAGAGGGAGUAUUUUUUACGGUAGUCUUGAAGAGUUGUUAGAGUGGCAGGUUUUGGUUUAGUUUGAGCUGUUAGCCAUGAUCCAUUCUUUUUUUUUCUUCUUCAUGGUGACCUACUUGCUUUUCUUAGGGGUCGUGCUCCACUUGAUACGCACAAAACCUAUGGUCCAUAUGCUCCCAAUUUCGGCCCAUAUGCAAAGAUUUGAGUAAGGAUUUCUAUCUCAUCAAAAUACCAAGUCAAAUUUCUAGGCCCAGACUCAAAGUUGACACUUAGUGUCAAUAGCCACAUGACCUCUUUUAUUUUUCUUAUUCUAAUUUUUUUUUUGAGAAUGACGGGAAAACCCCACCGUUUGUUAUAUUACUCGAAGGACUCGGAAGUCGUACAGUGUUUUCAUCAAAAUGAUAAAAGCAACAAGAUAAAAGAAGACAACAAGGGCGGAGGGAGAGGAGAGACUCGUCUAUGCUAAGCACAAGCAAGGAGCAAGGUGCGAACGACCAUCAGCUGGUGGACCUCAUGGUCACGGAAGCGCCUACUCCAGAUAAGGAGGUCAUCGGACGCCUUCUGAAGAACUGCACUCGCAUCACACUGUUGGCGGUUGAAAACCACGCCGUUCCGUGCCUUCCAAACCUGCCAGAGGAGAACAAACAGCCCGUCUCUCCAACACGAGCGAGAGACAGACUCAGGGGGUGCAGAGGAGAGAGCCUCGCCAACACAACGUAGAGAGCCCAUGCUGAGCCGCCCCCAGACCUCGGCUGCGCGUAUACAGGUGAUGAAGAGGUGGUCAAUGGUCUCAUCGGCGCCACAAGACACGCAUGACGGGGUGGGGGAGCAGCUUUUGGCGUGGAGGUUCACCCGCGUGCUAAGGCGACCGCCGGUGAGAAGACGCGCGAACACCUUGAUCUUCGAGGGGAUGCUGGAGGCCCAAAUCUCGAAGGAGGUGAGGUCGGUGCAGCCGUGCAGAGAGAGCACCCGGUACACUGCACGCGAGGAGAACCGCGUCUCCGGGCCCCAGGCCAUGAUCCGGCGAUCCGCCCUAGGGUAGAGAUGGACGGAACGGAGCACCGCCUGGACCGCCUCCAGCUCCCAAGCGACCACAGCGGACAGCCGCGGCUGGAGCGAGAUGCCGUCCCGAAGGACACCCGCGACGGUGGCGUUAGGCCGCGUCGAGUGGGAGAAGAGAGCCUCAAACUGGAAGCACAGCGCACAUCCAGGGAGCCACCUGUCCGCGAACACCUGUCCUGUCUUAUUCUAAAAUUACCAUUGAUUUUCUCUUUUCUCAUCCUCUUCCUCCUAUCCUGCUCAGUCGGUUGUCUUCCAAGCUCCACGGCCGGCUGCGUAGCCUCACCUGACUGAAUCACGACACACUAUCUUAAUUACUGCCGCCGCCUCCUCCUGCCACCCUCUAACCGGAGACAUGAAUUUCUUCUCCGGCCCCGGUGUCCCACCCCAAACCUUAAACUCUUCACCACGACCUAAAACCUCCACUCUCGCCUCGGUCUUAGACUCGGUCCAUACUCGCCGCUGUCGUCGCGCGCAGCUCCAUGCCAACACUAUCUCUGCCUCGAUGCGCACCAUCGAGUAGCCAGAGGUUGAGGUUGAUGGCGUAUUAAAGAGGGAAAAAAGAUAAUUGUUGCUGUCUAGCAAAUAAAUGCGAAGAUAAAUAUUAGGAUCGGCUAUUAGUAAGUUGCCUGAAAAAAAAUUGGGUCAAUAGAUUUUCUGGACCUGUAUUAAUGAAGUUCCAACGGCCUCACUUCUUUCGUCGUCCUUCAGCCGCCAUUUCGUCGUCUGUCAGAUGGCACGCCUUGCUGCCGCUCGCUACGCCGUCCCCUGCACAGCGAGGGCUUCGUCUAAGGCUGGUCAUAGUGGGAAGUAACUUAGACUAGUAACAUGUACUCCCUCUGUUCCUAAAUAUAAGUCUUUUUAGACAUUUCAAAUGGACUACAACAUACGGAUGCAUGUAGACAUAUUUUAGAGUGUAGAUUCACUCAUUUUGCUCCGUAUGUAGUCACUUGUUGAAACCUCUAGAAAGACUUAUAUUAUGGAACGGAGGGAGUAUAUGUUACUAGUCUAUGUUACUACCUGUUGGAAAUAUGCCCUAGAGGCAAUAAUAAAUGGUUAUUAUUAUAUUUCUUUGUUCAUGAUAAUUGUCUAUUGUUCAUGCUAUAAUUGUGUUAUCCGAAAAUCGUAAUACAUGUGUGAAUACAUAGACCACAACGUGUCCCUAGUAAGCUUCUAGUUGACUAGCUCGUUGAUCAACAAAUAGUCAUGGUUUUCUGACUAUGAACAUUGGAUGUCAUUGAUAACGAGAUCACAUCAUUGGGAGAAUGAUGUGAUGGACAAGACCCAAACCUAAGCAUAGCUCAAAGAUCGUGUAGUUCGUUUGCUAGGGCUUUUCCAAUGUCAAGUAUCUUUUCCUUAGACCAUGAGAUCGUGCAACUCCCGGAUACCGUAGGAGUGCUUUGGGUGUGCCAAACAUCACAACGUAACUGGGUGACUAUAAAGGUGCACUACGGGUAUCUCUGAAAGUGUCUGUUGGGUUGGCACGGAUCGAGACUGGGAUUUGUCACUCCGUGUGACGGAGAGGUAUCUCUGGGCCCACUCAGUAAUGCAUCAUCAUAAUGAGCUCAAUGUGACUAAGGAGUUAGUCACGGGAUCAUGCAUUGCGGUACGAGUAAAGAGACUUGCCGGUAACGAGAUUGAACAAGGUAUUGGGAUACCGACGAUCGAAUCUCGGGCAAGUAACUUACCGAUUGACAAAGGGAAUUGCAUGCGGGAUUGAUUGAAUCCUCGGCAUCGUGGUUCAUCCGAUGAGAUCAUCCUGGAACAUGUGGGAGCCAACAUGGGUAUCCAGAUCCCGCUGUUGGUUAUUGACCGGAGAGGCGUCUCGGUCAUGUCUGCAUGUCUCCCGAACCCGUAGGGUCUACACACUUAAGGUUCGGUGACUCUAGGGUUGUAGAGAUAUGAGUAUGCGGAAACCCGAAAGUUGUUCGGAGUCCCGGAUGAGAUCCCGGACGUCACGAGGAGUUCCGGAAUGGUCCGGAGAUGAAGAAUUAUAUAUAGGAAGUCCAGUUUCGGCCACCGGGAAAGUUUCGGGGGUUAUCGGUAUUGUACCGGGACCACCGGAAGGGUCCCGGGGGUCCACCGGGUGGGGCCACCUGUCCCGGAGGGCCCCAUGGGCUGAAGUGGGAAGGGAACCAGCCCUUAGUGGGCUGGGGCGCCCCAUGGGCCUCCCCCNNNNNNNNNNCCGCUGCCCCCCCUUGGAGAUCCCAUCUCCCAGGGUCGGCGCCCCCCAGGGGGCCUAUAUAAAGGGGGGAGGGAGGGCAGCAACACAACAGCCUUGGGCGCCUCCCUCCUCCCCUGCUACACCUCUCCCUCUCGCAGAAGCUCGGCGAAGCCCUGCCGAGACCCCGCUACUUCCACCACCACGCCGUCGUGCUGCUGGAUCUCCAUCAACCUCUCCUUCCCCUUACUGGAUCAAGAAGGAGGAGACGUCGCUGCACCGUACGUGUGUUGAACGCGGAGGUGCCGUCCGUUCGGCACUCGGUCAUCAGUGAUUUGGAUCACGGCGAGUACGACUCCAUCAACCACGUUCAUUGGAACGCUUCCGCUCGCGAUCUACAAGGGUAUGUAGAUGCACUCCUUUCCCCUCGUUGCUAGUAUACUCCAUAGAUGCAUCUUGGUGAGCGUAGGAAAAUUUUAAAAUUCUGCUACGAUCCCCAACAGUGGCAUCAUGAGCCAGGCCUAUGCGUAGUUACUAUGCACGAGUAGAACACAAAGCAGUUGUGGGCGUUGAUGUUGCCAAGUCUUCUUGCCGCUACUAGUCUUAUCUUGUUUCGGCGGUAUUGUGGGAUGAAGCGGCCCGGACCGACCUUACACGUACGCUUACGUGAGACUGGUUCCACCGACUGACAUGCACUAGUUGCAUAAGGUGGCUAGCGGGUGUCUGUCUCUCCUACUUUAGUCGGAACGGAUUCGAUGAAAAGGGUCCUUAUGAAGGGUAAAUAGAAAUUGGCAAAUCACGUUGUGGUUUUACAUAGGUAAGAAACGUUCUUGCUAGAAACCUAUACAAGCCACGUAAAAACUUGCAACAACAAUUAGAGGACGUCUAACUUGUUUUUGCAGCAUGUGCUAUGUGAUGUGAUAUGGCCAGAAGAUGUGAUGAAUGAUAUAUGUGAUGUAUGAGAUUGAUCAUAUUCUUGUAAUAGGAAUCACGACUUGCAUGUCGAUGAGUAUGACAACCGGCAGGAGCCAUAGGAGUUGUCUUUAUUAUUUUGCAUGACCUGCGUGUCAUUGAAUAACGCCAUGUAAAUUACUUUACUUUGUUGCUAAACGCGUUAGCCAUAGAAGUAGAAGUAAUCGUUGGCGUGACAACUUCAUGAAGACACAAUGAUGGAGAUCAUGAUGAUGGAGAUCAUGGUGUCAUGCCGGUGACGAAGAUGAUCAUGGUGCCCCGAAGAUGGAGAUCAAAGGAGCAAAUGAUAUUGGCCAUAUCAUGUCACUAUUUGAUUGCAUGUGAUGUUUAUCAUGUUUUGCAUCUUAUUUGCUUAGAACGACGGUAGUAAGUAAGAUGAUCCCUUAUAAUAAUUUCAAGAAAGUGUUCCCCCUAACUGUGCACCGUUGCGAAGGAUCGUUGUUUCGAAGCACCACGUGAUGAUCGGGUGUGAUAGAUUCUAACGUUCGCAUACAACGGGUGUUGACGAGCCUAGCAUGUACAGACAUGGCCUCGGAACACAUGCAAUACACUUAGGUUGACUUGACGAGCCUAGCAUGUACAGACAUGGCCUCGGAACACGGAGGACCGAAAGGUCGAGCAUGAGUCGUAUAGAAGAUACGAUCAACAUGGAGAUGUUCACCGAUCUUGACUAGUCCGUCUCACGUGAUGAUCAGACACGGCCUAGUUAACUCGGAUCGUGUUUCACUUAGAUGACUAGAGGGAUGUCUAUCUGAGUGGGAGUUCAUUGAAUAAUUGAUUAUAUGAACUUAAUUAUCAAGAACUUAGUCUAAAAUCUUUACAAUAUGUCUUGUAGAUCAAAUGGCACACGUUGUCCUCAAUUUCAACGCGUUCCUAGAGAAAACCAAGCUGAAAGAUGAUUGCAGUAACUAUACGGACUGGGUCCGGAACCUGAGGAUCAUCCUCAUAGCAGCCAAGAAAGAUUAUGUCUUAGAAGCACCGCUAGGUGAAGCACCAAUCCCAGAGAACCAAGACGUUAUGAACGCUUGGCAGCAGCGUGCUGAUGAUUACUCCCUCGUUCAGUGCGGCAUGCUUUACAGCUUAGAACCGGGUCUCCAAAAGCGUUUUGAGAAACAUGGAGCAUAUGAGAUGUUCGAGGAGCUGAAAAUGGUUUUCCAAGCUCAUGCCCGGGUCGAGAGAUAUGAAGUCUCCGACAAGUUCUUCAGCUGUAAAAUGGAGGAAAAUAGUUCUGUUAGUGAGCACAUACUCAGAAUGUCUGGGUUACACAACCGCUUGUCUCAGCUGGGAGUUAAUCUCCCGGAUGACGCGGUCAUUGACAGAAUCCUUCAGUCGCUUCCACCAAGCUACAAGAGCUUUGUGAUGAACUUCAAUAUGCAGGGGAUGGAAAAGACCAUUCCUGAGGUAUAUUCAAUGCUGAAAUCAGCGGAAGUGGAGAUCAGAAAGGAACAUCAAGUGUUGAUGAUGAAUAAAACCACUAAGUUCAAGAAGGGCAAGGGUAAGAAGAACUUCAAGAAGGACGGCAAGGGAGUUGCCGCACCCGGUAAGCCAGUUGCCGGGAAGAAGUCAAAGAAUGGACCCAAGCCUGAGACUGAGUGCUUUUAUUGCAAGAGAAGUGGUCACUGGAAGCGGAACUGCCCCAAAUACUUAGCGGACAAGAAGGCCGGCAACACCAAAGGUAUAUGUGAUAUACAUGUAAUUGAUGUGUACCUUACCAGUACUCGUAGUAUCUCCUGGGUAUUUGAUACCGGUGCGGUUGCUCAUAUUUGUAACUCAAAACAGGAACUGUGGAAUAAACGGAGACUGGCAAAGGACGAGGUGACGAUGCGCGUCGGGAAUGGUUCCAAGGUCGAUGUGAUCGCCGUCGGCACGCUACCUCUGCAUCUACCUACGGGAUUAUUUUUAAACCUCAAUAAUUGUUAUUUAGUGCCAGCUUUGAGCAUGAACAUUGUAUCUGGAUCUCGUUUAGUUCGAGAUGGCUACUCAUUUAAAUCCGAGAAUAAUGGUUGUUCUAUUUAUUUGAGAGAUAUGUUUUAUGGUCAUGCCCCGCUGGUCAAUGGUUUAUUCUUGAUGAAUCUCGAACGUGAUGUUACACAUAUUCAUAGUGUGAAUACCAAAAGAUGUAAAGUUGAUAACGAUAGUCCCACAUACUUGUGGCACUGCCGCCUUGGUCACACUGGUGUCAAGCGCAUGAAGAAGCUCCAUGCGGAUGGACUUUUGGAGUCUCUUGAUUACGAAUCAUUUGACACGUGCGAACCAUGCCUCAUGGGUAAGAUGACCAAGACUCCGUUCUCCGGAACAAUGGAGCGAGCAACCAACUUAUUGGAAAUCAUACAUACCGAUGUGUGCGGUCCAAUGAGUGUUGAGGCUCGCGGAGGAUAUCGUUAUGUUCUCACUCUCACUGAUGACUUAAGUAGAUAUGGGUAUGUCUACCUAAUGAAACACAAGUCUGAAACCUUUGAAAAGUUCAAGGAAUUUCAGAGUGAGGUUGAGAAUCAACGUGACAGGAAAAUAAAAUUCUUAUCAUCAGAUCGUGGUGGAGAAUAUUUAAGUCACGAAUUUGGUACGCACUUAAGGAAAUGUGGAAUCGUUUCACAACUCACGCCGCCUGGAACACCUCAACGAAACGGUGUGUCCGAACGUCGUAAUCGCACUCUAUUGGAUAUGGUGCGAUCUAUGAUGUCUCUUACCGAUCUACCGCUCUCAUUUUGGGGCUACGCUUUAGAGACUGCCGCAUUCACUUUAAAUAGGGCUCCGUCGAAAUCCGUUGAGACGACACUGUAUGAAUUAUGGUUUGGGAAGAAACCUAAGCUGUCGUUUCUAAAAGUUUGGGGAUGCGAUGCUUAUGUCAAGAAACUUCGACCUGAAAAGCUCGAAUCCAAGUCGGAGAAAUGCGUCUUCAUAGGAUACCCUAAGGAAACCAUUGGGUAUACCUUCUACCUCAGAUCCGAAGGCAAGAUCUUCGUUGCCAAGAACGGGUCCUUUCUGGAGAAGGAAUUUCUCUCGAAAGAAUUGAGUGGGAGGAAAGUGGAACUUGAUGAGGUGAUAGUCACCCCUUCCGAACCGGAAAGUAGCGCAGCGCGGGAAGAUGUUCCUGUGGUGCCUACACCGACUGGGGAGGAAGUUAAUGAUGAUGAUCAUGAAGCUUCGGAUCAAGUUACUACUGAACUUCGUAGGUCCACAAGGACACGUUCCGCACCAGAGUGGUACGGCAACCCUGUCCUGGAAAUCAUGUUGUUAGACAACGGUGAACCUUCGAACUAUGAAGAAGCGAUGGCGGGCCCGGAUUCCGACAAAUGGCUAGAAGCCAUGAAAUCCGAGAUAGGAUCCAUGUAUGAAAACGAAGUAUGGACUUUGACUGACUUGCCCGAUGAUCGGCGAGCCAUAGAAAACAAAUGGAUCUUUAGGAAGAAGACAGACGCGGAUGGUAAUGUGACCAUCUAUAAGGCUCGACUUGUCGCUAAGGGUUAUCGACAAGUUCAAGGGGUUGACUACGAUGAGACUUUCUCACCCGUAGCGAAGCUGAAGUCCGUCCGAAUCAUGUUAGCAAUUGCCGCAUACUAUGAUUAUGAGAUAUGGCAGAUGGACGUCAAAACGGCAUUCCUUAACGGCUUCCUUAAGGAAGAGUUGUAUAUGAUGCAGCCGGAAGGUUUUGUCAAUCCUAAGAAUGCUAACAAAGUAUGCAAGCUCCAGCGCUCAAUCUAUGGGCUGGUGCAAGCAUCUCGGAGUUGGAACAUUCGCUUUGAUGAGAUGAUCAAAGCGUUUGGGUUUACACAGACUUAUGGAGAAGCCUGUGUUUACAAGAAAGUGAGUGGGAGCUCUGUAGCAUUUCUCUUAUUAUAUGUGGAUGACAUAUUAUUAAUGAGAAAUGAUAUAGAAUUCUUGGAAAGUAUAAAGGCCUAUUUGAAUAAGUGUUUUUCAGUGAAGGACCUUGGAGAAGCUGCUUAUAUAUUAGGCAUCAAGAUCUAUAGAGAUAGAUCAAGACGCCUCAUUGGUCUUUCACAGAGUACAUACCUUGACAAGAUAUUGAAGAAGUUCAAUAUGGAUCAGUCCAAGAAGGGGUUCUUGCCUGUAUUGCAAGGUGUGCAAUUGAGCACGGCUCAAUGCCCGACCACGGCAGAAGAUAGAGAGAAGAUGAGUGUCAUCCCCUAUGCCUCAGCCAUAGGGUCUAUUAUGUAUGCCAUGCUGUGUACCAGACCUGAUGUAAAACUUGUCGUAAGUUUGGUAGGAAGGUACCAAAGUAAUCCCGGCAUGGAACACUGGACAGCGGUCAAGAAUAUCCUGAAGUACCUGAAAAGGACUAAGGAUAUGUUUCUCGUAUAUGGAGGUGACGAAGAGCUCGUCGUAAAGGGUUACGUCGACGCUAGCUUCGACACAGAUCUGGAUGACUCGAAGUCACAAACCGGAUACGUGUAUAUUUUGAAUGGAGGAGCAGUAAGCUGGUGCAGUUGCAAGCAAAGCGUCGUGGCGGGAUCUACAUGUGAAGCGGAGUACAUGGCAGCCUCGGAGGCAGCACAGGAAGCAGUCUGGAUGAAGGAGUUCAUUACUGACCUAGGGGUGAUUCCCAAUGCGUCGGGCCCGAUGACUCUCUUCUGUGACAACACUGGAGCUAUUGCCCUUGCGAAGGAGCCCAGAUUUCACAGGAAGACCAGGCAUAUCAAGCGUCGCUUCACUUCCAUUCGUGAAAGUGUUCAAAAUGGAGACAUAGAUAUUUGUAAAGUACAUACGGACCUGAAUGUAGCAGAUCCGUUGACUAAACCUCUCCCUAGAGCAAAACAUGAUCAACACCAGGACGCUAUGGGUGUUCGAUUCAUCACAAUGUAACUAGAUUAUUGACUCUAGUGCAAGUGGGAGACUAUUGGAAAUAUGCCCUAGAGGCAAUAAUAAAUGGUUAUUAUUAUAUUUCUUUGUUCAUGAUAAUUGUCUAUUGUUCAUGCUAUAAUUGUGUUAUCCGGAAAUCGUAAUACAUGUGUGAAUACAUAGACCACAACGUGUCCCUAGUAAGCCUCUAGUUGACUAGCUCGUUGAUCAACAGAUAGUCAUGGUUUCCUGACUAUGGACAUUGGAUGUCAUUGAUAACGGGAUCACAUCAUUGGGAGAAUGAUGUGAUGGACAAGACCCAAACCUAAGCAUAGCUCAAAGAUCGUGUAGUUCGUUUGCUAGAACUUUUCCAAUGUCAAGUAUCUUUUCCUUAGACCAUGAGAUCGUGCAACUCCCGGAUACCAUAGGAGUGCUUUGGGUGUGCCAAACGUCACAACGUAACUGGGUGACUAUAAAGGUGCACUACGGGUAUCUCUGAAAGUGUCUUUUGGGUUGGCACGGAUCGAGACUGGGAUUUGUCACUCCGUGUGACGGAGAGGUAUCUCUGGGCCCACUCGGUAAUGCAUCAUCAUAAUGAGCUCAAUGUGACUAAGGAGUUAGUCACGGGAUCAUGCAUUGCGGUACGAGUAAAGAGACUUGCCGGUAACGAGAUUGAACAAGGUAUUGGGAUACCGAUGAUCGAAUCUCGGGCAAGUAACUUACCGAUUGACAAAGGGAAUUGCAUACGGGAUUGAUUGAAUCCUCGGCAUCGUGGUUCAUCCGAUGAGAUCAUCGUGGAACACGUGGGAGCCAACAUGGGUAUCCAGAUCCCGCUGUUGGUUAUUGACCGGAGAGGCGUCUCGGUCAUGUCUGCAUGUCUCCCGAACCCGUAGGGUCUACACACUUAAGGUUCGGUGACGCUAGGGUUGUAGAGAUAUGAGUAUGCGGAAACCCGAAAGUUGUUCGGAGUCCCGGAUGAGAUCCCGGACGUCACGAGGAGUUCCAGAAUGGUCCGGAGGUGAAGAAUUAUAUAUAGGAAGUCCAGUUUCGGCCACCGGGAAAGUUUCGGGGGUUAUCGGUAUUGUACCGGGACCACCGGAAGGGUCCCGGGGGUCCACCGGGUGGGGCCACCUGUCCCGGAGGGCCCCAUGGGCUGAAGUGGGAAGGGAACCAGCCCUUAGUGGGCUGGGGCGCCCCAUGGGCCUCCCCCCUGCGCCUAGGGUUGGAAACCCUAGGGUGGGGGGGCACCCCACUUGGCUUGGGGGGGAAGCCACCCCUCCUUUCCCCCUUGGCCGCCGCCCCCCCUUGGAGAUCCCAUCUCCCAGGGCCGGCGCCCCCCAGGGGGCCUAUAUAAAGGGGGGGAGGGAGGGCAGCAACGCAACAGCCUUGGGCGCCUCCCUCCUCCCCUGCUACACCUCUCCCUCUCAUAGAAGCUCGGCGAAGCCCUGCCGAGACCCCGCUACUUCCACCACCACGUCGUCGUGCUGCUGGAUCUCCAUCAACCUCUCCUUCCCCUUGCUGGAUCAAGAAGGAGGAGACGUCGCUGCACCGUACGUGUGUUGAACGCGGAGGUGCCGUCCGUUCGGCACUCGGUCAUCGGUGAUUUGGAUCACGACGAGUACGACUCCAUCAACCACGUUCAUUGUAACGCUUCCGCUCGUGAUCUACAAGGGUAUGUAGAUGCACUCCUUUCCCCUCGUUGCUAGUAUACUCCAUAGAUGCAUCUUGGUGAGCGUAGAAAAAUUUUAAACUUCUGCUACGAUCCCCAACACUACCUUCAUAAUGGAUAGUAACAUAUGAAUGAUAACAUGCAAGCCUUCAUUAAUUGAGAUAUAGACUCAUUUUACCUUGGGGUGUGUUAUGUUACAGUAACAUAUUAUGUUACCACAAUCAGCUCUCUCCUCAUUAACUCCAUGCCACAUAAGCAAAUUUAUCUUGGGAUGUAUUAUGUUACUAUCUAAGUUACUCCCACUAUGACUAGGGUUCGGCUCCUCUGCAGUCACGUUAUUACUGCACGGGUACUGUACCAACUCACAUUAGCCGUCCAAAUCUGACGACUCUCGCUACCCCCACUUGAUUCUGUUAAUAAAUGGAAACAAACAGCUAAUUAUGUGGUACAAAAUCUCCUACGGCUGCAGGAUUGCCGCCAAACAGAACCACGAAGAUACUCACAUUGGCGCCAAACAAAACACACCCUGAUAAUCACCUUGGCGCCAAACAGCGACCUCUUUGCAUUUGUCCCGCUCAUCUUCCUCGUUCCUCCUUUUGCCCUAUCUUUCUUCUGAUCGUCCUCCAUGUUCAGAGCGCAACCAAGGCAAGCUAAGGAGCCGAACCCUGGCGCAGAUCAACUCCCUUUUGCCCUAUCUUUCUUCUGAUCGUCCUUCGUGUUCAGAGCGCAACCAAGGCAAGAUAAGGAGCCGAACCCUAGCGCAGAUCAACUCCCUUUUGCCCUAUCUUUCUUCUGAUCAUCCUCCAUGUUCAGAGCGAAACCAAGGCAAGCUGAUCCAUAGGCGAUGAAGAUUAUCUCCCUUUUGCCUUCCUUCUUCUAGCAACAAAAAAGAAGACAAUUAAUCUCAAGGUAUGUGACAUAUGCUCUAACUGUAUUCAUAUUCUCAAGGCACACAAUUUGUAGAUUGAGUUUGCUAUGGUACUAUUUUCUUAAAUGGAGGAUGAUAAGGGCAAGAUGCAAAACUUAUUUUCUGCACCUUUUAGAUUAUGUUAGAGUGAAAAAAUAAUUUUAAUAGAAGUGAUCUCUAUUGUUUUGGACAACCUCAAGAUAAAAUGCAUGAAUAUAUUCAAAUAUUUACUUGUAAGAUAGAUGAUUUGCUCAUCAAGUACCUGGGAUUUCCAAAACAUUACAGGAGAUUAAUGCAGAUGAUCUCCCUUUUGUUGUCCUUCUCCUAGCAACAAAAAAGAAGAGAAAGUCUAAUGGAGAAUAUGACUAGCUCUAAUGAGGAUGCUAACAGGUACCGACAGUUUUGUUAAAUUCUCAGGUCAUAUCACCUUAUGAUUGUAGUGUAAACAUACAAACAAAUAAUUUAUGUGUAAUUUUUAUAGGAAAAAUGUGGUUCCUAGUUGGAUGCCUCGGAUUGGUAUGAAAUUCAAUUCCACAAAAGAGGCUUGGAACUUUUGGACAUGUUAUGGAGGUCAUAUUGGUUUUGAUGUAAGGAUAAAUUAUGAAAACAAGAGCAAACUCGAUGGAGUAAUCACUUCAGCAAGAUAUGUUUGUUCCAAUGAGGGCUACAGAAGAAAAGACAAAAGGGAUAAUAGUACAAAGCGUCCUCGUGCAGAAACAAGGACCGGCUGCAAUGUUCGAAUGGGAAUUACUAUAGACCGAGAAGCAGGAAAUUAUGAGGUGCAUGAGUUAGUUGUUGAACACAACCAUGUCUUGCAAUUACCUGGGACAAGCCACUUGAUGCCAUCACAGAGGAAGAUUUCGGCCUUGCAAGCAUUUGAAAUUGAAACAACAGAUGAUUCAGGAAUUGUACCUAGAAAAGCCCAUGAGCUAGCAAGUCGACAAGUUGGUGGUCCACUAAACCUUGGCUACACAUCUCGUGAUCGCAAGAACCACUUGCGAACCAAGCGACAAAGGGACCUGAUGUAUGGUGAAGCUGGAAGUAUGCUCAAGUAUUUUAGAGAUAAAAAGAAUGAGAAUCCUGCAUUUGAAUAUGACAUGCAACUAGAUUGCGAUGAAAAUAUAGCAACUAUCUUCUGGGCUGAUGCAAGGAUGAUAAUUGACUAUGCUCAUUUCGGUGAUGUUGUUACCUUCGAUACAACAUUUGGGACAAACAAAGAGUACAGACCCUUUGGUGUGUUUGUUGGCUUCAACCAUUUCAGAGAAAUGGUCAUUUUUGGUGCUGCACUUUUAUAUGAUGAGACAUUUGAAUCAUUCAAAUGGUUGUUCAACACGUUCCUAUCAGUGCAUAACAAAAAACAACCAAGGACAAUCUUUAUUGAUCAAGAUGUAGCAAUGGGUAAUGCAAUUCAGGCAGUAUUUUACCGAAGCAUGGCAUGGGUUGUGCACUUUUCACAUAAUGCAAAAUGCCAUCAGGCACUUACCUCAUAAGAAAAAAGACGAGGAUGGACCAAAUGUACUUGCUGAUUUCAGUGCUUGCAUGUACAAGUAUGAGGAAGAGGAAGCCUUUGAAGACGCUUUCAAGUCCAUAAGAAGCAAUGUGGAAACACAAACUUGGUUGGACAGCAUCUACAAAGUAAAAGAGAAAUGGGCAAGAUGUUACAUGAGGAAUGCUUACACUAUAGGCAUGAGAAGCACACAAUUAAGUGAGAGCUUGAACAGUGACUUGAAAGACCAUCUAAAGUCUGCUCUUGACAUCCUUCGGUUUUUCAAGCACGUAGAGAGGGUUGUGCAAGGAAAAAGAGAUAAUGAGGUAAAUGAGGAAUAUGAGUCUAGGAAAAAAUUACCUAGAGUCAGAAUGAGGACUCUUAUGGUAAUACAAGCGAGCAAAGUUUACACACCAUGCAUAUUUGAAUAUUUUCAGAAUGAAUAUGAAAGAUCCAUCUCAGCAUACAUCAAGCCAUCGGUACAACACAAUGUUUAUACUGUUGUGAUUGCAAGUCUUGACCCAGAAUUUUCAUAUGAAGAAGAAUGCAAAGUUCUAGUAGACUAUGGAGAGCAAAAGGUUCUAUGCAAUUGUGGGCAAUUUGAAAGAGUUGGUAUAUUGUGUAGUCAUGCUUUGAAAGCCCUUGAUGUCAUGAAUAUUAAAUAUCUUCCAGGCCACUAUAUUUUGAAGCGAUGGACUCGAGAAGCACGAAGUGGAACUAUUCAAAACAGCCAUGGAAACAUUGUUUUGGAAGACCCUAGAUCGGAAGAUAGGCAACAAUUGAAGUUUUUCAUGCACGAUCUCCAUGGCAUAGCUUCCCAAGCAGUUGCAUCAAAAGAGUGCAUCAAACUAGUAGAUGAUGCUUUGAGGAUUCUUAGGAAGCAAGUUGAAGAAAAAGCUCCUACUACUACAUGCACAACUGAAGAUAUAUCUAAAGAACCAGAGGAUUGUCUACAGGCCGCUUGCCUAAAGAAAAAAGAAAUUCCGAUUAAGAAUUCGAGACGAAAGAAAUCAUGGCUUGACAACCAGCACCCCAAUAAAAAGAAGGAGACAAAUAAAGUUGUACCAAAAAAUCAAACUCAUCCGGUAAAUCUCUUCCACCUAUCUAACCAGAGUACUUGCUAAAAAGACUAACAUUUGCUCGGUUUUCUUUUCAUAGAGAAGAGAGAAUGACAUUCCACUAGCACAAUACCAAUCACCUAUAGAGCAAAUGGCUGGAACAAGUGCAAAUGGGUUACUGACUAACUGAAAUUAAACUCAGUACACAUGCAUGUACCACUACUGGUUACUGACUAACCAUAUGGCCGUGAAGAAUUAACGGAUUAUCAAACAAUCACAUGCUCUCCCUUGCUCUGCUUUCACUCUUCUAACAUCAAGAAAGCUGCAGUACGUACAAGACGAACAAACAAUGAAGAAAGGAAGAAAUCGGUUCUAAGUAACAGGCUAGCAGCAAGAAAUUCACCUCCUGCGCGACGACCAUUGGGUUCUUCUGCUAUUGGGGCUUGUCGCUUGGCCGGGCAGGAGUGCUGCGAGGUCCAGCUGCCGCGCCGCUGCCACUGUUUUCCCAGUGGAUUUGACCGGAUUUGGCCGGAGACACGCCGCUGCCGUCAGACGCCUCCUGCGGUCGAAGAAUCUUGGGGCGCCCAUCGUGGAGGGCGUCGCAGCGCGGCGGGCCGGCGGCCCAGGCAUAUGAGAAUCGCCGUCCUCUGGCUGCUACCCUCCUAUGGCGUAGACCACCCCUCCUAUGGCUGCUACCCUCCUCCGCUUCCAGGUCGCUCGGGCUACUCUGGGAGUCGCCGUCCUCGUAUUCCUUAUCGAGCCCGCCGGUAUGAGCCUCCAGCUUGCCGUCGUCGUCGGGCUCGUUGAGCUCGCCGUUGUGCGGCAGCAGCGUCUCAGGUGGAUUCGCGCGGCACCUUCAUCCCCCGACCAUUCAUUGCAGCAGCCGGUAGAAGCCAUGGGGGCACGCGGAUGGAUAAGAAGCAGCGCAAAGAGGUGAGCCUACGAAGGGAGGGCAUCGCCGGAGCAGUACAAGCUGACCGGAUUUGGCCGGAGCAGCGCUUGCGGUGGGGAAAAACAGUGACCAGUCCUCUCUAGAGGAAGGAGACAAGACAGAGAGGGGAACAGUGUGGCAUGUGGGUCUUUUUUUUAUGAGUGGCCGGUGCGAGGCUUGUCACACAGCGAUUGAGCCAUUGGAUUAAAAUGAACGAUGGAUCCUAGCAGCUACAGCACGCGUGCAGUAAUAUCUUUGUUCUUCGCCCUCCCCUACCAGCCAUUGAUCAUAUUCGAAGUGAAAAAACCAUGUCUAUAUACAACAUGGACCUGCUACACUAAAUAGUAACUACACAUCGACAUUGUGUCAUCAACAUUGGAGACUUUCAUCCUGUUGUGUUGUGGUGUUAGGGAGACGUUCAAAGGUGUCAAAUGCAAGAAAGCCAAGAGUGUAUGCGUGUGAUACUACACUAAUUUAUCCUCUUUACAACCUAUAUAUGUUCACCUAAUACCUGUUUUUUUUCUUAAUAAAGGAUGGAUCAUGCAGAUUGAUAUUGUAUAUCAUUGCGAGACAUAAUAGAUAGAAAUUUGCAAUAGACCACUUCCACAAAACUCCCUUACAGAGCUGCGAUCAAGGUCUUCAAACUCCUUUGCAACAAAAUUAGUUGCAAAGCCAGACCUGAUUUCGAAAAGACUUCUGAGCCUUCUAUAGACUAUGGCGCUUUUUUCCCUCUACUAUAGAUUUAGAAGUAUCUGCACAUGCCGCAGACACAAGAUACAAAGCCCAGGGUUAUAUGUAAAAUUUAGUUAGCCUAUUUGUUUCUAAAUCAUCAAGAUCAUCAAGAAUUAACCUAUGUUAUAAUCUGAAAUGAUCAUGCUGGAAUUAACUUUAUGAUGGUCUUAGCAAACAUGGUGCUAUUUAUGGUGAGCUGAUUAGUUGUAGGGCUAUUGAACAUAUUUACUGCAGUUUGGGCGCAAAAUCCUUCAGCUUAACCAUUCCUACAUGUACAUUAUCCUGCAUAUAUAGUUCAUUAAAGGGUGUACUGUUCAUCCUAAAUGAUUACUAUUCUGUAAACAAGCAAUAUCUAUGACGUGUGUGUGUGUGUGUGUUAGAUUUCAUUAGGUUCGAAGGAAGUUUACAGGUAUGAUUGUAUUCUUUUCAAGAUUACUACUGCACACUCAGAUUCAUUCCCUUUCCUUUUUUUGACAAAACACAACAUCACUGCAUUUACAUUCAGAACAGGAAAUAAAGUUCAGAGAAACAUCUACCGAGCUAGACAUGAGAGAAAUAAAACAGCAAGAUUAAAUCAUCCGGACAUCCUUCAGAUGAACUAGGCGCACGGUUAAAUAUUUAUAUGCACAUAAUGUUCUUGCUCGAUAAUAGCAGAUAACUUUAGUUUCAUAGGCAAAAGCAAUGAAAAAAGUAGCGCCCUAUAACAAAGUACCACCGGUCUUAAAGUACGCCAUUAGAGUGCUAUAUUGCACCAUAGGAUGCUAUUAGCGAGACACUGCAUACAUUGGUUUAUUUAGCGAGACAUUUCUUACCACACUAUGGUCUUCUAUCAGCGGCGCUAUAACGCGCUAUUUUUUCAGUGGUAAAAGUAUCCAAAUUGCCGACGAUUGAUUUGAUAAAUUAUUUAUGCAUAUGAUCACAAUGUUUCACUAUUAGUUGUUUUGAAGAUACCAAGAAAGGUUGAUUUUUAAUAACUCGAUUCAUACUACCCUUUUUCUGUUAGAGCUAUUGCCACAUGUCAACAAGAUAGUAUGUAAGAAGAAAUUCCAGUUUUUUUUGCAGAAGUUCCUCUUAGAGUUAUCCUUCGAGAUAACAAAGAAUUAUUUCUAAGUAGUUAUCUUUCAUAUUCAACUAAUAAGAGCUACUUCAAAUAUUCUUAUAUUGAAAAAAAAAUCCUCAAAAUAUUUCAUGGAUACAUACAUGUUAUGCUGAUAGAUCAGGAAAAGCCAAUUGUGUCAUUGUAAACUUAAGAUUUUGCCCUUACCUUAAAUUAUCAAAAUUAGUUUCAGAUUUACAUAAUGGUCUGUUGAUGGUACUGCAUGUACUAUAUUUACAAUACAUGUAAAGCAUCAGAGUAUAUCCAGAUCCAGUAUGGAUCUAUUAAUUUUUGUGUCCACGAGAUAUCUCAAGCUUUAUGUGUAAUUAUUUAGGCAUUAUGGUCUUACUUUAUGUGUAAUUCUUUUCAAAUUUCGGUACAGCAAUUCAUCUCAAGCUUUUAUGUCAAGCAUUUAUUUACAUAAGCAAUAAAAUGCUGCGAUAAAUGCGCAUACUUCUAAAUACGUGAUCUGAUAUACAUGUUUUAUAGAGAUGAAUAAAUGCUUGCAUACAUGUUUAAUUUACAUAAAUGUGCAUAUAGCGUAUAUCUAAUUAAGCAAAGAGUACUGAAAUAUAGGUGUACCAGUUGGUGAGACAUACAUACGAAUUUACAUUUUUAGUGUUCAUUUUAUGUUCCUUAAUUGCUAGCCCGUGCAGGUGCACGGGUUGACUGGCCUAAUCCGGCCAGGAAUUAGAACGAAAAGGCCCACCACCCGCACCUAUUAACUCUUGGACUCGCCUCCGCAUGCGACCCCGCGGCGAGCCACGUCAUCAUUGCCGUUCCUGUCUCGGCCUCACCUGGGUCCCAGCAUCUCUCUGCCGCUUGCCGCGCUGCCCCUGUCUCGGCCUCGGUGCUGCGCCUUGCCUCCUCCUUCCUUUCCCGCAAAAAUCGACCGCUCCAAUGCAAAUUCAGUUAACUUACAUAGAACUAUUGCGAUAAAUAUUACAUGGCCUCAGCUUCGAUUUGCCGACGACUGAACAUGCAUGUCACCGGCCUACCUCGUCUCUGUUCUAUACUCGGCUGUCAGUCUCAGAGAUGCAAUCCAUGAGCUUAAAACAGCGACGGAGAUUUUUGCAAUCAACAAUCGGAGCAUCAUCUUGGCUUUUGGCCACAAAGUAGAGACUGAACGAGCCAAUUCCGCAUUUGCCACUGCCUUGAGAGUUAAGUAACUCCGUUUCCUUGGACUGUUCCAUCGACGCCCGCCGCUUCUUCUCGCCUCCGACAGCUCCUCCUCACCUGCUCCCACGCAGACGGCGACGACGACGAAGACGACAACGGCGACGACUACACGUUGCUUAGCUUCAACCUAAGCAGAUCACCGCACGAAUCAUUGGCAUUAUAUAUAUGCGUCCAGGUCGAGCUACAGCCUUCCAUCGGGACAAGACCGCCCUAGACACAACAUCAAGUUGACGUCCAGUUGCAGCAAGCAACGGCGGCGAUGAUGGUGGAGAGGUGGGCAGGGUUCGGGUCGGCGAUGGCGACCGUCAUCUUCCUCUGGUCCGUUGUGCAGAACUACGUCCCUCCCACCUUCCGCCUCUACCUCACCGCCUGGGCCGCCAAGGUCGCCGCCUGCUUCAACCCCUACCUGCAGAUCACCAUCUCCGAGUACGGCGCCGAGCGCUUCCAGCGCAGCGACUUCUUCCUCGCCGUCGAGGCCUACCUCAGCGACGCCUGCGCCCGCCGCGCACGCAAGCUCAAGGCCGAGCUCGUCAAGGACAGCAAGAACCUCCGGGUCACCGUCGACGACCACGAGGAGGUCACCGACGACUUCUCCGGCACAACCAUCUGGUGGUACGCCUCCAAGCGGCAGUCCAAGGCCCAAGUCAUCACCUUCUACCCCGGCGAGGACGAGCGGCGCUUCUACAAGGUUGUCUUCCAUAGGCGCCACCGCGACCUCGUCGUGGACUCCUACCUGCCCUUCGUGCUCGGCGAGGGCCGCGCCGUCACCGUCAAGAACCGCCAGCGCCGUCUCUUCACCAACAACGCCAGCCGCAACUGGAACCCCUACCGCAGCAAGAGCGUCUGGAGCCACGUCCCCUUCGAACACCCCGCCACCUUCGACACGCUUGCCAUGCACCCCGAUGAGAAGGAGGCCAUCGUUGACGACCUCAUGGCGUUCCAGGAGAGCAAGGACUACUAUGCCAAGGUCGGCAAGGCGUGGAAGCGCGGGUACCUCCUUUAUGGACCGCCCGGCACCGGCAAGUCCACCAUGAUCGCCGCCAUGGCCAACUUCCUUGACUACGACGUCUACGAUCUCGAGCUCACAGCUGUCAAGAACAACACCGAGCUGCGGAAGCUCUUCAUCGAGACCACGGGCAAGUCCAUCAUCGUCAUAGAGGACAUCGACUGCUCCAUCGACCUCACCGGAAAACGCCGCAAGGACAAGAAGGCCUCUAGUGACAAGGACUCCGACGAUGAUGACAAACCCAAGCUACCGAUGGAUCCAGAGAAGGACGACGCCACCAAGGUGACGCUCUCGGGCCUCCUCAACUUCAUUGAUGGACUUUGGUCUGCUUGCGGGGGUGAGCGGAUCAUCAUCUUCACUACCAACCACAAGGACAAGCUCGAUCCGGCGCUGAUCCGUCGAGGAAGGAUGGACAAGCACAUCGAGAUGUCAUACUGCCGCUUCGAGGGCUUCAAGGUGCUCGCCAAGAACUACUUAGAUGUCAUCGAGCAUGAGCUGUUUGGGGAAAUUCAGCGGCUGCUCGAGGAGACCGACAUGUCGCCCGCCGACGUUGCAGAGAACCUGAUGCCAAUGUCGAAGAAGAAAAAGAGGGACCCUGAUUUGUGUUUGUCGGGCCUCGUCAAGGCACUCAAGCAGGCCAAGGAAGACGCGGCAGCAGCAGCGGCGGCCAAGGCGAAGGAGGAAGAAGAGGCCAAGGAGGCUGAAGCAAAGAAAGACAAGGAGAAAGAGGAGGCGGGGUUGAAGAAAGCCAAUGAGGAAAACAAAGGGAAGGACAAAGCACCGGAGGAAGCCAAUGGAGACAUCAAGGAAGGUGACAAGUGAAGUGACAUCAAGAAAGGAAGCAAAGGAAAAAAGAAUUAGCUUGUUCACUAGUGCCCCCUUCUACAAAAGAUAAAUGCAUCUUUGAAAUGAAAACCUCUAAACUGAAAUAUUAUGUGUAGCAUCUCUCAUUUGUAAUAUAUAUGUGCCCCCUUACCUAUAUACUCCCUCCUUGUAGAUAUUUGUUUUAUCUCUAAUUUGUAGUACUAUUUCUGGUAAAACUAUAGAAAAUGCUAACAAGACCCAUUCGGUUUACCUACACCAAAAUGCUAAGAAGUUUUUCUACAGGGAAUUAAACCUAAACAUGGCAUAAGAAGCUUCCCUACCAUUUCAUCAACACAAUAUCGUCACUACGCAUGACAGUGAAAGAAUAUCGUCACAAUCGGAACUUACCUAGUAAUUAAUUGAUUAAGCAACCCAAAUCUGAAUUAAUUGAUUAAGCGACCCAAAUCUGAAUUUGCCCUUCUACCUAGUAAUUAAUUGAUCAAGCAACCAAGUUCUGCAUCUUUUCCAUGCGUGCAUGAACUUUCCCAGCUACUCUUCACCUGCUCCGACGACAACAACGACCAGCGGUCGCGCUGAAGUCAACUUAAGUAAAUCACCACACAAAGCAGGCCAAGGAAGACGCGGCAGCAGCGGCAGCCAAGGCGAAGGAGGAAGAAGAGGCCAAGGAGGCUGAAGCAAAGAAAGUUAAGGAGAAAGAGGAGGCGGAGGUGAAGAAAGCCAAGGAGGAAAACAAAGGGAAGGACAAAGCACCGGAGGAAGGCAAUGGAGACAUCAAGGAAAGUGACAAAGUGAAGUGAAAUCAAGAAAGAAAGCCAAGGAAAACAGAAUGAGCUUGUUCACUAGUACAGAAAUAAAAUGCGGUGUGGAAUAUUAUGCGUCGCAUCUCCCAUUUGUAAUAUGUGCCCCCUUACGUAUAUAGAUAUUUGUUUCAUCUCUCAUUUGUAAUAUUUCCGAUAAGACUAUACAAAAUGCUAACAAGACCCAUUCGCUUUACCUACACCAAAAUGGCAACAAGUUUUUCUAUAGGGAAUUAAACCUAAACAUGGCAUAAGAAGCUUCCCUACCAUUUCACCAACACAAUAUGCAACUAGCAAUCGGAACUUACCCUGCUCCAUCCAGUAAUUGAUUGAUUAUUAAGCAACCCAAAUCUGAAUUUGCCCUUCCACCUAUUAAUUAAUUGAUUAAGCAACAAAGUUCUGCAUCUUUUCCAUGCGUGCAUCAACUUUCCAUAGCUACUCUUCACCUGGUCCGACGGCAACAACGACCACCACCGGUCGCGCUGAAGUCGACUUAAGUAAAUCACCAGACAGAACUCCAGCAUUAUAUAUAAACGCACACGAACAAAGAUCUCCAGCGUUGCAUCAAGAAGAAGAAGAGAGCUAGCAGGCCAUGGCAGCGCUGGUGGAGAGGUGGGCGGGGUUGGGGUCGGCCAUGGCGAGCAUCAUCUUCCUGUGGUCCAUGGUGCAGAACCACAUCCCGGUUACCCUCCGCCUCUACCUCACCGCCUGGGCCGCCAAGCUCGUCGCCUGCUUCAGCCCCUACCUCCAGAUCACCAUCUUGGAGAACAGCGCCGAGCGCUUUCAGCAAAGCGAGUUCUUCUACGCCGUUGAGGCCUACCUCAGCGACGCCUGCGCCCACCGCGCCAGCAGGCUCAAGGCCGAGCUCGGGAGCGACAGCAGCAACCUCCAGGUCUCUGUGGACGACCAUGAGGAGGUCACCGAUGAGUUCUCUGGUGUGACGCUCUGGUGGUACGCUUCCAAGAAGCAUUCCAAGGGGAAUGUCAUCAGCUUCUACCCUGGCGAGGAUGAGAGACGCUUCUACAAGGUCGUCUUCCACAGAAGCCACCGUGACCUCAUCGUCGACUCCUACCUGCCCUUUGUCCUCGCCGAGGGACGCGCCGUCAUCGUCAAGAACCGCCAGCGCCGCCUCUUCACCAACUGUGGCGGUAGACGGAGGCGCUACCUUCGCAAUAGCGUUUGGGACCAUGUUAAGUUUGAACACCCGGCCACGUUCGACACGCUCGCCAUGGACACCGACCAGAAGGAGGCCAUCAUGGACGACCUCAUCGCGUUCAAGGAUGGCAAGGAGUACUACACAAAGGUUGGCAAGCCAUGGAAGCGGGGGUACCUAUUGUACGGCCCGCCCGGCACCGGCAAGUCCACCAUGAUUGCCACCAUGGCCAAUUUCCUUGAUUACGACGUCUACGACCUCGAGCUUACGUCGGUCAAGAACAAUACCGAGUUGCGAAAGCUCUUCAUCGAGAUGACAAGCAAGUCCAUCAUCGUCAUCGAGGACAUCGAUUGCUCCAUCGACCUCACUGGUAAGCGCCGCAAGGACAAGAAGGCCUCUAGUAACAAGGACUCUGACAAUGAAUAUGAACCCGACCCGACGGAGCCGCGGAAGGACGAUGAAAGCAAGGUGACGCUCUCAGGCCUACUCAACUUCAUCGACGGGCUAUGGUCAGCAAGCGGCGGUGAGCGGAUCUUCAUCUUCACCACCAACCAUAAGGAGAAGCUGGACCCGGCGCUAAUUCGGCGGGGUAGGAUGGACAAACACAUCGAGAUGUCCUACUGCCGCUUUGAGGGCUUCAAGGUGCUCGCCAAGAACUACCUAGAUAUCGUCGAGCAUGUGUUGUUUGGCGAGAUCCGGCAGCUGCUCGAAGAGACCGACAUGUCACCGGCCGACGUGGCAGAGAACCUGAUGCCCAUGUCAAAGAAGAAAAAGAAGGACCCGAACAUGUGCUUGGCAGGCCUCAUCGCGGCGCUCAAACAAGCCAAGAAAGACGCGGUCACGACUGCAGCAGUGGCAAAGGCGAAGGAGGAAGAGGAGGCAGAAGCAAAGAAAGCCAAGGAGAAAGAGGAACCGAAGGAAGAUAAAUGAAAGGACAAACAUGACAGGAAGCCAGGUAGCCAACCAAGACAUCAAACAAGACAACCCAACUCUCUUAUAUUUCUUUACAGAGGGAGUAUGUAUCACUCAGCUUAUUUUCGGAUAAAUAUGUGUCACUCAACUGAAAUAAAAAAAUAUUGGUUUCUUUUUCAUUUGCUUAUUAACACAGGAAGCGACCAUUGUAUUGUUACUAUAUAAAGAGAGUGCUACAAUACCAAAUGCUAACAUGAUAUUGCUGCAAGAACACAAGGGAAACUGAGAGUCGUUUGCAUAUAUACAUUUCCUCAUUUAUCUACAAAAGAGAGCAGUCGGGCGUAUAUAACCCGCCUAUAAAACUUCCUUGUUCUGAUAAACAAUACAAAAGCAACAGCAGACCCAAAGACGCAGACACAUGCCAUGAUCAUGAAGGAGAGCGCAAAGCAGUGCUUACCAGCGCAGGCAAGCUCACCUUGCGGUGACUCCUUGUCAUAGAUAAACCCGACCACGCGCACCGAGAGGAUGUAAGAGCCAACAGGGCUUGCGACGGCCACCGUGUUGAAGAUGGUGCCGAAAUGGUUUAGCCCGAAGAUCUCUGACGUUAUGCUCGGCAUCAAAGCCCACUGAGACCCAUAGCACAGGCCGACGAGGACCGAGCCGAUGUAGAGGGACGCGUGGAAACCGGAGGAGAUGAUGGCAUGGCCUACACCCAUGACCAGAAGUGUUGCUGCUAUGAAGAAAGGCCUGCUCACUCCUCGCGACCUGAGGAAGUGAUCAGAGACGUAGCCUGCGCCGAACCUCCCUGAGAAGUUCCAAAUGCUCCAUAGCGACACCAGAGUGCUGGUCUCCCUGCUCGUGUAGCCAAGGGAGCCCCCGAUCUGACUGAUGUUGUUCACGGUGGCCAGCCCCGACCCCAUUCCGCAGGCCAUCGCGAGGAAGAGCAGCCAGAAGUCGAGUUUGCACAUGGCCUGCACCACGUUCAGGUUCUCUGCUUUUUCCGACAACAUGUCCUGACUAUUAGAUCCCGCAAGCGGUGUGCUAGAGCUGGCGUUCUCCGAAUCCUGCUGCGCAGUCUCCUCAUGAAGAAGUAAACCAGUUUGUUCUUCCGACGUUGGUUCUUCUCGCUGCUUCGAUUCCGACCUCUGAGCCCAUACAACAAUAGCUACUGGAGACAUGAUCAGCAGCAGGAGUAUCGCGAAGCAAACGCUCUGCCCGGCUGAACUUAUCACGAAUACUUGGUCGCAGAUUAUGACAACCAUCAGGAACCCAGCAACAGUAACGGCCAUGAGAGAGAAAGCAUCAAGGAACUUCUUGUUGUACCGCUGAUGAGCGCUGUGGACGUCGACAAAGUACAUGAGCAGCAAUGCGAUGGCUGUGGGUAGUAUUGCCAGCAUAAGUAUGAAACUGCCGGGAUCAAUACGGAGAGUGCGCUGUACUUGGACCAGUAUCGCGCCACUCAAGCCAAGAAAACCCUGUUUGGAAAUUAAACAGAUGAAUCGAUGUCAUUGAAAAGAGUAGGACACAUCACUGCUUGUGUAAGAAGACAAAUACUAGUUUGCUUUGUUGCUGAGAAACAGAGUGGAGGUUGGGAUUAUUGAGCAAAUUAAGUGUGUGCGAUGUUGGAUCCACACAAGUUCACAUCAUCAGAGUUACGAAUACAGUUAAGGUGAAAACUCAAGACAACAACACUGAAAGUUCGGGCAAUUACGACAAAAACGAUAGCUCCACCAGGUGUGGCAGGUGAAGGACGAGGCCAGCGAAUGAACGCUGCAUUAUUGGCUCUCUGAUGUCUCUGGACCAGAAAACAUUAUUAUGAAACAGUUCCUGUACCUACACAACUGUACUUUUCUAGAACCAGUGAUGCUGACUUCCAGGGAGCAAGAAUUCCCAGAAUGGUUGUGCUGGAUAAUGUUAACAUCAUUGUACUUUUCUAGAACGGUUUAUCUCUAAGGUUGUGUUGCAUAAAAAUUACUCUCCUUGACUACUUUCAGCAUACAUCUCUGCACUACUGUGGUAUGCCACCAAAACAGAUUUCUCCACAUAAAAAUGGAACAAAACAGAUCCUUUCACAUGCCUGUGGAUUGGAGCAGACAAAGCCUGUGGAUUUCUUGUAACUCACAGAGCAAAUUACUGAUGCAGAGCAACAGAGCAUAGACUGAAUACUACUGUACAACAAAACAGAGUAAGGGGAUCGAUCGGCAGCAGGUACCUUCAUGAUGCCGAUGACGGUGCCGCGGCGGUCGGGGAAGUUCUCGACGGCGGUGACAACGUCGGCCGUGUUCAUGAAGGUCUGCGCCUGCGCGGCGAGCAGCAUGUAGAGGCAAACGAGCGGGAGCGGGGCGGGGACGACACCCGCGACGGCGAGCCACAUGGGGAGGUACCCUGCGGCGCAGAGCGCGGCGCCGGUGAGGAGGACGAUCCAGGGGUGUCGGCGCCCUCCCGCGGGCGCCCACGCGGCGAGGAGGCCCGAGAGGACCCCGACGUUGGCGCCGACGUCCUUGAAGAAGGCGACGGCGUCGAGCGCGGACUGGUCGUAGCCCUGCGACGCCUUGAGCGCCGGCGAGUAGACGCCGAAGCAGUAGCUGCCGCCCGCGAAGCACUGGAUCAGCGCGCUCGCCGCCAGCGCCGACCACCGCGUCCUGGCCGCCAUCGCCGCCGCAACACAAGAGGAAGAAAAGAAUGUCUUUUUUAGCUCGGUGGCUUCAAGGACCUCUCUUUGCGCUGCCACGUGAGCUACGUGACACCCACUAGCCGCCAUGUUUCACUGACAGCGUGGGCCCACUGAGAAGAAGCCAUAGCAAUUGUGAGAAGAAAAUGGAGAAUGUUUUUCUUUUUCUAGGAGAAGGUGACUUUUUUUAAUUUGAGCAUGAUUAUCGAACAAUCAAUUUCUUAGCAUGGAUCCAAGCCAAGUUGUUGAGGCAUUUUUUCUUUUGCAUGAUUAGUAAUGCAUCUGAACGUUGUUAUUUGUUAUAAUCCAAAUGAAUUUUGAAAUAAAAUAGUUCCAACAUAAAUUCAACCUGCAAGAUGGAACACCCAUGUCACAAAUUUGAAGUCUAAUUUAUAAUAUAGUUCGGGAGAAAAAGACAAAUUCGACUCUGAUAGUACACAACAAAACAUUAGUUGGGCUUUAAAUUUUGCCCAUUGCCACUGUCAAUACUACUUUUGUUUUUGGACCUUGACAUUAGUUGAGACUCAAAAGGUACUUGAUUUUUGUGAUAUUAUCGGUUCAUGUUGUGCCCAUUUGUAGACUUUUUCUCAGAUUUGUUUUGAAAACAUCUGUAUGUACAAGCCGAAUCCCGGUGCAGUACAAGCCCUGGUGCACUAUAUACUUACCAACAAGGGAGAUGUGUUGUUGGUUGAAAAAUGGCAGCAGUUAACAACUUGGGCCUAAUAUUUGACACGAACUUAAACCAUUUGCAGUGUUAUUUUCAGGCUGGUUAUUGCUAUGGAGAAUGAAACAUCCAUGCUAUUGAUAAAGAACAAUCUCACAAAAUUGGAUCUAUCUUCUUGUGCUAUUAUUGCUGAAAUUAAGAGGCGCACUAUAAGUCGAAGGAAUUGCCAAGCUUUGUGUACGUCCGGAAUCUUGCCCGGCGUCUGCAUAAGAGAAAAUCUCCCGCCCUCCUCUUCAAGCUGGAUAUAAAAAAGGCCUUCGACUCGGUCAAGUGGGGAUACAUUCUCGAGCUUAUGCAACAUUUGGGGUUCCCCCCUAAAUUUAGGGCUUGGAUUGCGGCGCUUCUAUCCUCAUCUUCGUCAAGAAUCCUAUUAAACGGCGUGCCUGGCCCUCCGAUCUUGCAUGGGAGUGGAUUCCGGCAGGGGGACCCCCUAUCCCCCCUCCUUUUUGUCCUGGCGAUUGAUCCCUUGCAUAAGAUUCUGGACCUAGCCACUCGGAAAGGGCUUCUUCACAAGCUUCGCGGUCGGGGUGCCAUCAUGAGAACCUCCCUAUAUGCGGACGAUGCGGCGGUCUUCGUGGCGCCAAUCAAGAGGGACAUUGACAAUCUUGCUGCUAUCUUGCGGGGCUUCGGUGAGGUGACGGGCCUAUGCACCAACUUCCAGAAAAGCUCGGUCGUACCAAUUCGUUGCAACCAUCUUGAUCUUGAGCGCAUCCUCACAAGUAUGCCGGCGACCCAAGCCUCCUUUCCGGUGAAAUACUUGGGCCUUCUGCUUUCGGUGUGGCAGUUGAAGGCAGUGGACUUCCAAUACCUUGUCGACAAGGCGGCCGGAAAACUCGUCACUUGGGAAGGCCAAAACAUCACUCCUAUUGGGCGAACGACCCUUGUCAAGUCGGUCAUUUCCUCCCAAGCAGUGUUCUUGAUCACACAUCUCAUCAUGCCCUCUAGCACGCUGGAUAACCUCAACAAGAUUGAGAGGGCUUUCCUUUGGUCGGGUGCGGAAAAGACCACGGGAGCCAAAUGUAAGGUCAACUGGAAUGCGGUUUGCAGACCAAAGGAGUACGGUGGCCUUGGAGUGCUCAAUACCGAAAAGUUCGCAAGGGCCUUGCGGUUACGAUGGCUAUGGUUUGAAUGUAAGGAGCCCAGAAAACUUUGGGUUGGCCUUGGCAACCCCUGCACCGUAGAGGACCGUGAGUUCUUCUAUGCAUCUACGAAUAUCACCGUCGGGGAUGGCACCAAAACGCUUUUUUGGGACUCCCCUUGGCUUCUUGGUCGUAUGCCCAAGGACAUUGCACCGCUAAUUUUUGAGGCCUCGACAAGAAAGAAUUGGAGGGUGCGCGUGGCUCUCAAGGAGAAUGCUUGGAUCCUCAAAAUAAAGCAAGGCACCACUAUCUCUGUCAACCACAUCUCGGAAUUCUUCAACCUUUGGAUGCUCUUGCAUGACUUCCGCCUUGAUAUGCAAGCGGAAGAUGAUUUCAUUUGGAAGCAUGCGAACGACGGGAUAUACACGGCGAGCUCCGCCUACAAGGCUCAGUUUCUUGGCUUGACCCUAUCCCCCUUGGACCGUAUGGUUUGGAAGGCUUGGGCACCUCCGAAGAUUAAAUUUUUCGCUUGGUUGGCCUUGCAAGAUAGGAUUUGGACAGCCGAUCGUCUGGAGAAGCGUGGUUGGCAAAACUGUGGCCUUUGCCUGCUUUGCAAGAGGGAACAAGAAACGGGGACACAUCUCUUCUUCAAGUGUCGCUACACGCUUAGGCUUUGGAGAUUGAUCAUAGAGCAGCUUGCACUUGCACACAUGGACACCUCCGAGUGGCACUUGGAUGAAACCGUCAACGCGUGGUGGCAAAAAAGAACCGACAAUAAUAUUCCUAACCGAGACGCAAUGGCCUCCCUUGUUGGGGAUCGUAGCAGAAUUUUAAAAUUUCCUACGCAUCACCAAGAUCCAUCUAUGGAGUAUACUAGCAACGAGGGGUAAGGAGUGCAUCUACAUACCCUUGUAGAUCGCGAGCGGAAGCAUUCUAAUGAACGGGGUUGAUGGAGUCGUACUCGCCGUGAUCCAAAUCACCGAUAACCGAGUGCCGAACGGACGGCACCUCCGCGUUCAACACACGUACGGAGCAGCGACGUCUCCUCCUUCUUGAUCCAGCAAGGGGGAAGGAGAGGUUGAUGGAGAUCCAGCAGCACGACGGCGUGGUGGUGGAUGUAGCGGGGUCUCGGCAGGGCUUCGCCAAGCUUCUGUGAGAGGGAGAGGUGUUGCAGGGGGAGAGGGAGGCGCCAGGGGCUGUGGUGCUGCUGCCCUCCCUCCCCCACUAUUUAUAGGACCCCUGGAGGGGGGGCGCCGGCUCUGGAACCCAUCUGCAUGGGGGGCGGCGGCCAAGGGGGGGAAGGGGGUGGCUUCCCCCACAAGCCAAAGGGGGGCGCCCCCCACCCCUAGGGUUUCCAACCCUAGGCGCAGGGGGAGGCCCAAGGGGGGCACCCCAGCCCACUAAGGGCUGGUUCCCUUCCCACUUCAGCCCAUGGGGCCCUCCGGGAUAGGUGGCCCCACCCGGUGGACCCCCGGGACCCUUCCGGUGGUCCUGGUACAAUACCGAUAACCCCCAAAACUUUCCCGGUGGCCGAAACUGGACUUCCUAUAUAUAAUUCUUCACCUCCGGACCAUUCCGAAACUCCUCGUGACGUCCGGGAUCUCAUCCGGGACUCCGAACAACUUUCGGGUUUCCGCAUACUCAUAUCUCUACAACCCUAGCGUCACCGAACCUUAAGGGUGUAGACCCUACGGGUUCGGGAGACAUGCAGACAUGACCGAGACGCCUCUCCGGUCAAUAACCAACAGCGGGAUCUGGAUACCCAUGUUGGCUCCCACAUGUUCCACGAUGAUCUCAUCGGAUGAACCACGAUGUCGAGGAUUCAAUCAAUCCCGUAUGGAAUUCCCUUUGUCAAUCGAUAUGUUACUUGCCCGAGAUUCGAUCGUCGGUAUCCCAAUACCUUGUUCAAUCUCGUUACCGGCAAGUCUCUUUACUCGUACCGCAAUGCAUGAUCCCGUGGCUAACUCCUUAGUCACAUUGAGCUCAUUAUGAUGAUGCACUACCGAGUGGGCCCAGAGAUACCUCUCCGUCACACGGAGUGACAAAUCCCAGUCUCGAUCCGUGCCAACCGAACAGACACUUUCAGAGAUAUCCGUAGUGUACCUUUAUAGUCACCCAGUUACGUUGUGACGUUUGGCACACCCAAAGCACUCCUACGGUAUCCGGGAGUUGCACGAUCUCAUGGUCUAAGGAAAAGAUACUUGACAUUGGAAAAGCUCUAGCAAACGAACUACACGAUCUUUGAGCUAUGCUUAGGAUUGGGUCUUGUCCAUCACAUCAUUCUCCUACUGAUGUGAUCCCGUUAUCAAUGACAUCCAAUGUCCAUAGUCAGGAAACCUUGACUAUCUGUUGAUCAACGAGCUAGUCAACUAGAGGCUUACUAGGGACAUAUUGUGGUCUAUGUAUUCACACAUGUAUUACGAUUUCCGGAUAACACAAUUAUAGCAUGAACAAUAGACAAUUAUCAUGAACAAAGAAAUAUAAUAAUAACCAUUUAUUAUUGCCUUUAGGGCAUAUUUCCAACAGUCUCUCACUUGCACUAGAGUCAAUAAUCUAGUUACAUUGUGAUGAAUCGAACACCCAUUGCGUCCUGGUGUUGAUCAUGUUUUGCUCUAGGGAGAGGUUUAGUCAACGGAUCUGCUACAUUCAGGUCCGUAUGUACUUUACAAAUAUCUAUGUCUCCAUUUUGAACACUUUCGCGAAUGGAGUUGAAGCGACGCUUGAUAUGCCUGGUCUUCCUGUGAAACCUGGGCUCCUUGGCAAGGGCAAUAGCUCCAGUGUUGUCACAGAAGAGAGUCAUCGGGCCCGAUGCAUUGGGAAUCACCCCUAGGUCGGUAAUGAACUCCUUCAUCCAGACUGCUUCCUGUGCUGCCUCCAAGGCUGCCAUGUACUCCGCUUCACAUGUAGAUCCUGGCACGACGCUUUGCUUGCAACUGCACCAGCUUACUGCUCCUCCAUUCAAAAUAUACACGUAUCCGGUUUGUGACUUCGAGUCAUCCAGAUCUACGUCGAAGCUAGCGUCGACGUAACCCUUUACGACGAGCUCUUCGCCACCUCCAUAAACGAGAAACAUAUCCUUAGUCCUCUUCAGGUACUUCAGGAUAUUCUUGACCGCUGUCCAGUGUUCCAUGCCGGUAUUACUUUGGUACCUUCCUACCAAACUUACGGCAAGGUUUACAUCAGGUCUGGUACAUAGCAUGGCAUACAUAAUAGACCCUAUGGCCGAGGCAUAAGGGAUGACACUCAUCUUUUCUCUAUCUUCUGCCGUGGUCGGUUAUUGAGCCGUGCUCAAUUGCACACCUUGCAAUACAGGCAAGAACCCUUUCUUGGCUGACCCAUAUUGAACUUCUUCAAUAUCUUGUCAAGGUACGUACUCUGUGAAAGACCAAUGAGGCGUCUCGAUCUAUCUCUAUAGAUCUUGAUGCCUAAUAUAUAAGCAGCUUCUCCAAGGUCCUUCAUUGAAAAACACUUAUUCAAAUAGGCCUUUAUACUUUCCAAGAAUUCUAUAUCAUUUCCCAUCAAUAGUAUGUCAUCCACAUAUAAUAAGAGAAAUGCUAUAGAGCUCCCACUCACUUUCUUGUAAACACAGGCUUCUCCAUAAGUCUGUGUAAACCCAAACGCUUUGAUCAUCUCAUCAAAGCGAAUGUUCCAACUCCGAGAUGCUUGCACCAGCCCAUAGAUUGAGCGCUGGAGCUUGCAUACUUUGUUAGCAUUCUUAGGAUCGACAAAACCUUCCGGCUGUAUCAUAUACAAUUCUUCCUUAAGGAAGCCGUUAAGGAAUGCCGUUUUGACGUCCAUUUGCCAUAUCUCAUAUUCAUAGAAUGCGGAAAUUGCUAACAUGAUUCGGACUGACUUCAGCUUCGCUACAGGUGAGAAAGUCUCAUCGUAGUCAACCCCUUGAACUUGUCGAUAACCCUUAGCGACAAGUCGAGCCUUAUAGAUGGUCACAUUACCAUCCGAGUCUGUCUUCUUCUUAAAGAUCCAUUUAUUUUCUAUGGCUCGCCGAUCAUCGGGCAAGUCAGUCAAAGUCCAUACUUCGUUUUCAUACAUGGAUCCUAUCUCGGAUUUCAUGGCUUCUAGCCAUUUGUCGGAAUCCGGGCCCGCCAUCGCUUCUUCAUAGUUCGAAGGUUCACCGUUGUCUAACAACAUGAUUUUCAGGACAGGGUUGCCGUACCACUCUGGUGCGGAACGUGUCCUUGUGGACCUACGAAGUUCAGCAGUAACUUGAUCCGAAGCUUCAUGAUCAUCAUCAUUAACUUCCUCCCCAGUCGGUGUAGGCACCACAGGAACAUCUUCCCGCGCUGCGCUACUUUCCGGUUCGGAAGGGGUGACUAUCACCUCAUCAAGUUCCACUUUUCUCCCACUUAAUUCUUUCGAGAGAAACUCUUUCUCCAGAAAGGAUCCGUUCUUGGCAACAAAGAUCUUGCCUUCGGAUCUUAGGUAGAAGGUAUACCCAAUGGUUUCCUUAGGGUAUCCUAUGAAGACGCAUUUUUCCGACUUGGGUUCGAGCUUUUCAGGUUGAAGUUUCUUGACAUAAGCAUCGCAUCCCCAAACUUUUAGAAACGACAGCUUAGGUUUCAUCCCAAACCAUAAUUCAUACAGUGUCGGCUCAACGGAUUUCGACGGAGCCCUAUUUAAAGUGAAUGCGGCUGUCUCUAGAGCGUAUCCCCAAAAUGAUAGCGGUAAAUCGGUAAGAGACAUCAUAGAUCGCACCAUAUCUAAUAGAGUGCGAUUACGACGUUCGGACACACCAUUUCGCUGAGGUGUUCCAGGCGGCGUGAGUUGUGAAACGAUUCCACAUUUCCUUAAGUGUGUGCCAAAUUCGUGACUUAAAUAUUCUCCUCCACGAUCUGAUCGUAAGAACUUUAUUUUUCUGUCACGUUGAUUCUCAACCUCACUCUGAAAUUCCUUGAACUUUUCAAAGGUUUCAGACUUGUGUUUCAUUAGGUAGACAUACCCAUAUCUACUUAAGUCAUCAGUGAGAGUGAGAACAUAACGAUAUCCUCCGCGAGCCUCAACACUCAUUGGACCGCACACAUCGGUAUGUAUGAUUUCCAAUAAAUUGGUUGCUCGCUCCAUUGUUCCGGAGAACGGAGUCUUGGUCAUCUUACCCAUGAGGCAUGGUUCGCACGUGUCAAAUGAUUCGUAAUCAAGAGACUCCAAAAGUCCAUCUGCAUGGAGCUUCUUCAUGCGCGACACCAAUGUGACCAAGGCGGCAGUGCCACAAGUAUGUGGGACUAUCGUUAUCAACUUUACAUCUUUUGGUAUUCACACUAUGAAUAUGUGUAACAUCACGUUCGAGAUUCAUCAAGAAUAAACCAUUGACCAGCGGGGCAUGACCAUAAAACAUAUCUCUCAUAUAAAUAGAACAACCAUUAUUCUCGGAUUUAAAUGAGUAGCCAUCUCGAAUUAAACGAGAUCCAGAUACAAUGUUCAUGCUCAAAGCUGGCACUAAAUAACAAUUAUUGAGGUUUAAAACUAAUCCCGUAGGUAAAUGCAGAGGUAGCGUGCCGACGGCGAUCACAUCGACCUUGGAACCAUUCCCGACGCGCAUCGUCACCUCGUCCUUCGCCAGUCUCCGCUUAUUCCGCAGUUCCUGUUUUGAGUUACAAAUAUGAGCAACCGCACCGGUAUCAAAUACCCAGGAGCUACUACGAGUACUGGUAAGGUACACAUCAAUUACAUGUAUAUCACAUAUACCUUUGGUGUUGCCGGCCUUCUUGUCCGCUAAGUAUUUGGGGCAGUUCCGCUUCCAGUGACCACUUCCCUUGCAAUAAAAGCACUCAGUCUCAGGCUUGGGUCCAUUCUUUGGCUUCUUCCCGGUAACUGGCUUACCGGGCGCGGCAACUCCCUUGCCGUCCUUCUUGAAGUUCUUCUUACCCUUGCCUUUCUUGAACUUAGUGGUUUUAUUUACCAUCAACACUUGAUGUUCCUUUCUGAUUUCCACCUCUGCCGAUUUCAGCAUUGAAUAUACCUCAGGAAUGGUCUUUUCCAUCCCCUGCAUAUUGAAGUUCAUCACAAAGCUCUUGUAGCUUGGUGGAAGAGACUGGAGGAUUCUGUCAAUGACCGCGUCAUCCGGGAGAUUAACUCCCAGCUGAGACAAGCGGUUGUGUAACCCAGACAUUCUGAGUAUGUGCUCACUAACAGAACUAUUUUCCUUCAUUUUACAGCUGAAGAACUUGUCGGAGACUUCAUAUCUCUCGACCCGGGCAUGAGCUUGGAAAACUAUUUUCAGCUCUUCGAACAUCUCAUAUGCUCCAUGUUUCUCAAAACGCUUUUGGAGACCCGGUUCUAAGCUAUAAAGCAUGCCGCACUGAACGAGGGAGUAAUCAUCAGCACGUGAUUGCCAAGCGUUCAUAACGUCUUGGUUCUCUGGGAUUGGUGCUUCACCUAGCGGUGCUUCUAGGACAUAAUAUUUCUUGGCAGCUAUGAGGAUGAUCCUCAGGUUCCGGACCCAGUCCGUAUAGUUACUGCCAUCAUCUUUCAGCUUGGUUUUCUCUAGGAACGCGUUGAAGUUGAGGACAACGUGGGCCAUUUGAUCUACAAGGCAUAUUGUAAAGAUUUUAGACUAAGUUCAUGAUAAUUAAGUUCAUCUAAUCAAAUUAUUCAAUGAACUCCCACUCAGAUAGACAUCCCUCUAGUCAUCUAAGUGAAACAUGAUCCGAGUUAACUAGGUCGUGUCCGAUCAUCACGUGAGACGUACUAGUCAAGAUCGGUGAACAUCUCCAUGUUGAUCGUAUCUUCUAUAUGACUCAUGUUCGACCUUUCGGUCCUCCGUGUUCCGAGGCCAUGUCUGUACAUGCUAGGCUCGUCAAGUCAACCUAAGUGUAUUGCGUGUGUUUCGAGGCCAUGUCUGUACAUGCUAGGCUCGUCAACACCCGUUGUAUGCGAACGUUAGAAUCUAUCACACCCGAUCAUCACGUGGUGCUUCGAAACAACGAACCUUCGCAAUGGUGCACAGUUAGGGGGAACACUUUCUUGAAAUUAUUAUAAGGGAUCAUCUUACUUACUACCGUCGUUCUAAGCAAAUAAGAUGCAAAACAUGAUAAACAUCACAUGCAAUCAAAUAGUGACAUGAUAUGGCCAAUAUCAUUUUGCUCCUUUGAUCUCCAUCUUCGGGGCGCCAUGAUCAUCUUCGUCACUGGCAUGACACCAUGAUCUCCAUCAUCAUGAUCUCCAUCAUUGUGUCUUCAUGAAGUUGUCACGCCAACGAUUACUUCUACUUCUAUGGCUAACGCGUUUAGCAAUAAAGUAAAGUAAUUUACAUGGCGUUAUUCAAUGACAGGCAUGUCAUACAAAAUAAUAAAGACAACUCCUACGGCUCCUGCCGGUUGUCAUACUCAUCGACAUGCAAGUCGUGAUUCCUAUUACAAGAAUAUGAUCAACCUCAUACAUCACAUAUAUCAUUCAUCACAUCUUCUGGCCAUAUCACAUCACAAGGCACAUGCUCCAAAAACAAGUUAGACGUCCUCUAAUUGUUGUUGCAAAUUUUUACGUGGCUUGUAUAGGUUUCUAGCAAGAACGUUUCUUACCUACGUAAAACCACAACGUGAUAUGCCAAUUUCUAUUUACCCUUCAUAAGGACCCUUUUCAUCGAAUCCGUUCCGACUAAAGUGGGAGAGACAGACACCCGCUAGCCACCUUAUGCAACUUGUGCAUGUCAGUCGGUGGAACCUGUCUCACGUAAGCGUACGUGUAAGGUCGGUCCGGGCCGCUUCAUCCCACAAUAUCGCCAAAACAAGAUAAGACUAGUAGCGGCAAGAAGAAUUGGCAACAUCUACGCCCACAACUGCUUUGUGUUCUACUCGUGCAUAGUAACUACGCAUAGGCCUGGCUCUGAUACCACUGUUGGGGAUCGUAGCAGAAUUUUAAAAUUUCCUACUCAUCACCAAGAUCCAUCUAUGGAGUAUACUAGCAACGAGGGGUAAGGAGUGCAUCUACAUACCCUUGUAGAUCGCGAGCGGAAGCGUUCUAAUGAACGGGGUUGAUGGAGUCGUACUCGCCGUGAUCCAAAUCACCGAUGACCGAGUGCCGAACGGACGGCACCUCCGCGUUCAACACACGCACGGAGCAGCGACGUCUCCUCCUUCUUGAUCUAGCAAGGGGGAAGGAGAGGUUGAUGGAGAUCCAGCAGCACGACGGCGUGGUGGUGGAUGUAGCGGGGUCUCGGCAGGGCUUCGCCAAGCUUCUGCGAGAGGGAGAGGUGUUGCAGGGGGAGAGGGAGGCGCCAGGGGCUGUGGUGCUGCUGCCCUCCCUCCCCCCACUAUUUAUAGGACCCCUGGAGGGGGGGGGGGCGCCGGCCCUGGAACCCAUCUGCAUGGGGGGGCGGCGGCCAAGGGGGGGAAGGGGGUGGCUUCCCCCACAAGCCAAAGGGGGGCGCCCCCACCCCUAGGGUUUCCAACCCUAGGCGCAGGGGGAGGCCCAAGGGGGGCGCCCCAGCCCACUAAAGGAUGGUUCCCUUCCCACUUCAGCCCAUGGGGCCCUCCGGGAUAGGUGGCCCCACCCGGUGGACCCCCGGGACCCUUCUGGUGGUCCCGGUACAAUACCGAUAACCCCCGAAACUUUCCCGGUGGCCGAAACUGGACUUCCUAUAUAUAAUUCUUCACCUCCGGACCAUUCCGGAACUCCUCGUGACGUCCGGGAUCUCAUCCGGGACUCCGAACAACUUUCGGGUUUCCGCAUACUCAUAUCUCUACAACCCUAGCGUCACCGAACCUUAAGUGUGUAGACCCUACGGGUUCGGGAGACAUGCAGACAUGACCGAAACGCCUCUCCGGUCAAUAACCAACAGCGGGAUCUGGAUACCCAUGUUGGCUCCCACAUGUUCCAUGAUGAUCUCAUCGGAUGAACCACGAUGUCGAGGAUUCAAUCAAUCACGUAUGCAAUUCCCUUUGUCAAUCGAUAUGUUACUUGCCCGAGAUUCGAUCGUCGGUAUCCCAAUACCUUGUUCAAUCUCGUUACCGGCAAGUCUCUUUACUCGUACCGCAAUGCAUGAUCCCGUGGCUAACUCCUUAGUCACAUUGAGCUCAUUAUGAUGAUGCACUACCGAGUGGGUCCAAGAGAUACCUCUCCGUCACACGGAGUGACAAAUCCCAGUCUCGAUCCGUGCCAACCCAACAGACACUUUCAGAGAUAUCCGUAGUGUACCUUUAUAGUCACCCAGUUACGUUGUGACGUUUGGCACACCCAAAGCACUCCUACGGUAUCCGGGAGUUGCACGAUCUCAUGGUCUAAGGAAAAGAUACUUGACAUUGGAAAAGCUCUAGCAAACGAACUACACGAUCUUUGAGCUAUGCUUAGGAUUGGGUCUUGUCCAUCACAUCAUUCUCCUAAUGAUGUGAUCCCAUUAUCAAUUACAUCCAAUGUCCAUAGUCAGGAAACCUUGACUAUCUGUUGAUCAACGAGCUAGUCAACUAGAGGCUUACUAGGGACACGUUGUGGUCUAUGUAUUCACACGUGUAUUACGAUUUCCGGAUAACACAAUUAUAGCAUGAACAAUAGACAAUUAUCAUGAACAAAGAAAUAUAAUAACAACCAUUUAUUAUUGCCUCUACGGCAUAUUUGCAACAUCCCUCACCAUGCUCGUUUCUUGGGUAAUUUGGAACAAGAGAAACGCCCGCGUUUUCCGCCACAAAAGCGAACCGCCGACGAUUCUUCUUACCAACAUUUUAGAAGAUGCAAAACUAUGGGUGACCGCCGGCGCAAAGAAACUAGGGAACAUAAUAGUGUCCGAGUAAUUGCCAUGCCGCAUUUGUGAGUGCGUUGUAAAAAACUCUAAACUAUUCUCUCCCUUAUUUAAUUGAAGAGGCAAAUCUUUUGCCUUCGUUUCAAAAUAAAUAAAUAAAUAAUAGUGACACCCAUGGAUUGGUGAAGUUGAGUGAUACUAAUACUAUUAAAUCAUGGACAACAUAUAUCCAGUUAGCGAACGAUUUGGUUGGUUAAGGAGACACAAAGACUACCAAGAAGGAAACAAGUGGAAGAGAGUCUUUAUUUGUCGCUGUAAGAUGGAAAUCAGAUGCCACCUUGCUUAACACAUAUUUCUGAAUUAAAAGAAUAAUUUGAUCAAUGUUUCUGUAUUUUUAUAAAUAUGUGGCUGAUCCUUGCAAUCUCACCUCCUUCCUCCAUCUCACUUCCUCCAUCAUCUCACCAAUCACUUCGCAAGGAGACCGAUGAAUUGUGGGUUUAUGAUCAAGUUUAUCUAUGAACAAUAUUUGAAUCUUCUCUGAAUUCUUUUAUGUAUGAUUGGUUAUCUUUGCAAGUGUCUUCGAAUUAUCAUUUUGGUUUGGCCUACUAGAUUGGUCUUUCUUGCAAUGGGAGAAGUGCUUAGCUUUGGGUUCAAUCUUGCGGUGUCCUUUCCCAGUGACAGUAGGGGCAGCAAGGCACGUAUUGUAUUGUUGCCAUCGAGGAUAACAAGAUGGGGUUUUUUUUACAUAUUGCAUGAAUUUAUCCCUCUACAUCAUGUCAUCUUGCUUAAGGCGUUACUCUAUUUUUAUGAACUUAAUACUCUAGAUGCAUGCUGGAUAGCGGUCGAUGAGUGGAGUAAUAGUAGUAGAUGCAGGCAGGAGUCGGUCUACUUGUCUCGGAUGUGAUGCCUAUAUACAAGAUCAUACCUAGAUACUCUCAUAACUAUGCUCAAUUCUGUCAAUCGCUCAACAGUAAUUCGUUCACCCACCGUAAAAUACUUAUGCUCUCGAGAGAAGGCACUAGUGAAACCUAUGGCCCCCGGGUCUAUCUUCAUCAUAUCAAUCUUCCAACACUUAGUUAUUUCCUUUGCUUUUUUACUUUGCUUUUAUUUUACUUUACAUCUUUAUCGCAAAAAUACCAAAAAUAUUAUCCUAUCAUAUCUAUCAGAUCUCACUCUCGUAAGUGACCGUGAAGGGAUUGACAACCCCUUAUCGCGUUGGUUGCGAGGAUUUAUUUGUUUUGUGUAUGUGCGAGGGACUCGCGCGUAGCCUCCUACUGGAUUGAUACCUUGGUUCUAAAAAACUGAGGGAAAUACUUACGCUACUUUGCUGCAUCACCCUUUCCUCUUCAAGGGAAAACCAACGCAGUGCUCAAGAGGUAGCAAAAGCCUUAGCAAAUGCUACUGCAGAAGUUAUCUGGGUUUAAAAUAUGUUAACUGAGCUGGGUGUUCGUCAUCCUCAGGCAGCAUCACUUUGGUGUGAUAAUCUUGGUGCUACGUACUUGUCAACUAAUCCUAUUUUUCAUGCUAGGACCAAGCAUAUUGAGAUUGACUAUCACUUUGUUCGAGAAAGGGUAGCCAACAAACUGCUGAAUAUCAGGUUUAUACCCACUGGUGAUCAAGUUGCAGAUGGGUUUACCAAACCCCUUUCUUUGAGACAACUUGAAGGUUUUAGACACAAUCUCAACAUAGAGAAUUGUGAUUGAGGGGGAGUGUUAAACAUGUAAACCUAUCUUCGGUGAUGUAUAAACCGUAGGAUAGGUAUAGAUAGAUCAGGUUGUUAGGUUGUUGUGAUUGAGUUCUUGGAGAUCAAUCCACGCCAUGUAUAUCUCGUCGUAAUUACUUGGCUUCGGCCCAUAUGUUAACACGCAAUGCGUCCCUGCUAGGCAUAUGCUUAACCUAUUUUCACACUUACAUCCUCUCGGUGCGCAUGGUCGGGUUCAUCUAUGACAAGGAGUCACCGUAAGGUGAGGUUGCCUGCGCCGGUAAGCAUUGCUUCGCACUCUCCUUCAUGAUCAUGGCAUGUGUCUGCGCCUUCGGGUCUGCUGUUGUUUUUGUAUUGUUUCUCAGAACAAGGAAGUUUUAUAUGCGGGUUAUAUAUGCCAGACUGCUCUCUUUUCUAGAUAAAUGAGGAAAUGUGUAUAUGCAAAUGACUCUCAGUUUUCCUUGUGUUCUCGCAACAAUAUCAGUUACCAUUUGGUAUCGUGGCACUCUAUAUAGUAACAAUACAAUGGUCACUUCCUGUGUGAUUAAGCAAAUGAGAAAAGAAACCAAUAUUAUUAUAUUUGAGUUCAGUGACACAUCUUUAUCCAAAAAAAGCCGAGUGAUACAUACUUUACAGGAGUUGUGUUCUUACAUCAAUACCAUGUUAUAGCACAAUGACUAGAGAAGAGAAAGCAGUAUUAUUUAUUUAUUUUAUUUCAGUUGAGUGAUACAUAUUUUAUUUGAACAAACACUGCAUCUGUUUGUGUCUGUAAGGGAGCACUAGUGCACAAGCUCACUCUGCUCCUGUAACUCUACUUAUCACCUUGCUUGAUGUCUCCAUUGGCUUCCCCCGAUGUUUUGUCCUUUCCUUCGUCUUUCUUCGCCUCUCUCUCCUUUAUCUCCUUGGCUUCCUCUUCCUCUUUCGCCUUUGCCGCUACUGCGUCCUCCUUGGCCUUCUUGAGCGCCUUGAUGAGUCCUGCCAAGCACACGUCAGGGUCCCUCUUUUUCUUCUUCGACAUGGGCAUCAGAUUCUCCGCCACGUCUGCUGGCGACAUGUCGGUCUCCUCAAGCAGCUGCCAGAUCUCGCCAAACAGCUCAUGCUCGACGACGUCCAGGUAGUUCUUGGCGAGCACCUUGAAGCCCUCGAAGCGACAGUAGGACAUCUCGAUGUGUUUGUCCAUCCUGCCCCGCCGGAUCAGUGCAGGGUCCAGCUUCUCCUUGUGAUUGGUUGUGAAGAUAAUAAUCCGCUCGCCGCCACAUGCUGACCAUAGGCCGUCGAUGAAGUUGAGCAGGCCAGAGAGCGUCACCUUGGUGUCAUCAUCCUUCUCUGGCUCCAUUGGUAGCUUGGGUCUGUCGUUGUCAUCGGAGUCUUUGUCGCCGGAGCCCUUCUUGCCCUUGCGGCGUUUUCCAGUGAGGUCAAUGGAGCAGUCGAUGUCCUCUAUGACGAUGAUGGACUUGCCCGUCGUCUCGAUAAAGAGCUUCCGCAGCUCGGUGUUGUUCUUGAUGGCCGUGAGCUCAAGGUCGUAGACAUCGUAGUCGAGGAAGUUGGCCAUGGCGGCUAUCAUGGUGGACUUGCCGGUGCCAGGCGGGCCAUAAAGGAGGUACCCACGCUUCCACGGCUUGCCGACCUUAAUAUAGUACUCCUUGUUCUCCUGGAAUGCCAUGAGGUCGUCGAUGAUAGUCUCCUUCUGUUUGGGGUCCAUGGCAAGGGUGUCGAAGGUCGCUGGGUGCUUGAAUGGGGCGUGGCUCCAGACGCUCUUCUUGGCCCAGUAAGGGCUCUGGCUGCCGCUGACCUUGUUGGUGAAGAGGCAGUGUUGGUGAAGAGGCAGCGCUGGCGGUUCUUGAUGAUGACGUUGCGGCCUUCACCGAGGAUGAAAGGCAGAUAAGAAUUGACGACGAGGUCGCGGUGUUGCUUAUGGCAGACGAUGCGGUAGAAGCGCCUUUCGUCCUCGCCAGGGUAGAAAUUGACUACACUGGCCUUGGGUUGCUGCUUGGAGGCGUACCACCAGAUCUUGGCGCCGGAGAAGUCGUCGGUGACCCCCUCGUUGUUGUCGACAGAGACCUGGAUGUUCUUGCUAUUAUUGCCUAGCUCAGCUUUGAGCCUGCGUGCGUGAUGGGAACAUGCCUCACUCAGGUAGGCCUCGACAGCAAGGAAGAAGUCGCUUCUCUGGAAGCUCUCAGCAUGGUUCUCGGAGAUGGUGAUCUCAAAGUACGGGUUGAAGCAGGUGGUCAGCUUGGUGGCCCAAGUGAUGAGGUAGAGGCGGAGGGUAACCGGGAUGUGGUUCUGCACCAUGGACCAUAAGACGAUGAUGCCCGCCACUGCCGAACCCAAGCCCGCCCACCGCUCCACCAUCGCCAUGGCUGGACCUCUUAAUUGUUGUUUGUGUCUUGAAUAUUUCUUGUUAGAUCUGCACUGGAUGCUCCUACGUAUGUGUAUUUCUGUAUAUAUAUAACGCUGGAGAUUUGUGUGGUGAUUAACUUAGGUUGACCUAGGUCUUCGUCUACGUCUUCGUUUUUGUCGUCAUCGGGUCUUUGUUUUUGUCGUCGUCGUAGUAGAUUCCUCUUUGUCUUCGCUGUCGUCGGAGCAGGCGAGGAGGAGCUGUCGGAGACGAGAAGAAUCUACAGUCCAUGCACGCAUGGAAAAAACCUGUGGAUUCCCUUUGCCCAGUACGUUUGAGACAGGGAGUGAGAGGUGGGUGUAGCCAAAGGGUCAUGCUAGCAUUUCGUAUUGUAGUGCUAUUCCGUAGUCCAUAUAUACAUAGGAAUAUUAUUGUUCCUGUUGAGAGAUACUUAUUUUGUUUUGUGCCACCCUUCACCUUUCUCCUGGGAUUCGCUCUCUCCUUCAUGAUCAUGGAUGGCAUUCGUCGUACCGCUCAGUGUUGUUCAUCGGAACAAGCAAGUUUUAUAGGUGGGCUAUAUAUACGCCAGAAUGCUGUUUCUCGUAGAGAAAUGAGGAAGUGUAUAUAUGCAAACGGCGCUCAGUUUUCAUUCUGUUCUUACAAAUCAUGUUAGCAUUUGGUAUUGUAGUACCAUCUCUAUAUGGUAACAUUACAAUGAUCACUUCCUAUGUGAAUAAGCAAAUGAGAAAAGAAACCAAUUUUAUUUAAUUUGAGUUGAGUGACACAUCUUUAUCGGGAAAAAAAAUUAAGUGAUACAUAUUUUCUUUGAACAAACACUACAUCUUGUUUUUGGAAGGGUGCACUAGUGAACAAAGCUCACUCUACUCAUGGGUGGCUUCCUCCCAUGCUUCAUCCUUUCAUUUGUCUUUCUUCGAGUCUGCUUCCUCUUUCUCCUUGGCUGUCUUUGCUUCUGCCUCCUCUUCCUCGUUCGCCUUUGCUGCUGCUGCUGCUGCAACCACAUCUUUGAGCGCCUCGAUGAGGCCUGCCAAGCACAUGUUGGGGUCCUUCUUUUUCUUCUUCGUCAUGCGGAUCAGGUUCUCUGCCACGUCGGCCGAUGACAUGUCGGUCCCUUCGAGCAGCUGCUCGACCUCGCCGAACUACACAUGCUCGACGAUGUCUAGGUAGUUCUUGGCGAGUACCUUGAAGCCCUUGAAGCGGUAGUACAACAUAUCAAUGUGCUUGUCCAUCCUACCCCGCCGGAUUAGAGUUGUGUGGUGCUUUACUUAGGUUGACCUAGGUCAUCGUCUUCGUUUUUGUCGUCGUCGGAGGCUCGGAGCAAGUUCGACUUUGUCUUUCUCGUCAUCGGAGCAGGCUCGUGUUCUUCGUUUGUCGUCGUCGGAGGAUGGUGGAGAUUCGUCUUCGUUGUCAUCCGAGCAGGUGAGGAGGAUCUGUCAGAGCUGAGAAGAAUCUACAGUCCAUGCACGCAUGGAAAAAAACCUCUGGAUUACCUUUGCCCAGUACGUUUGAGACAGGGGAGUGAGAGGUUGGCAUUUCGUAUUGUAGCUAUUCCAUACAUACACAGGAAUUAUCAUCAUUAUUAUUCUUGUUGAGGGAUACAUAUUUUGUUUUGUGCCUCCAUUUGCCUUUCUCCUUGGCUUCACACUCUCCUUCAUGAUCAUGGAGUGCAUCGUACCGCUCGUAUUGUUCGUCGGGCGAGCAAGUUCUAUAGGCAGGUUAUAUACGCCAGAAUGCUGUUUUUUGUAGACAAAUGAGGAAAAUGUUUGCUGUGUACUUGCAACGGAGUAAAUUGCAUAAAACCACCAGUUUGAGGGUUAGGUUUGCGAAAAACACUAGGAUACAGUUUCUCUGCGGAAAACACCACAUCUUGCGUAAUUGUUUUGCAAAAACCACUGAUCGGCGGAUAAGCCUCGUUUGAGCACGUUUAUGACAGGUGGGUCCCGCUUGUCAGGCUGACUUGGCAAGAAAAACGCCCCCUGGACACUUUGACUAGUCAGAAACGCCAUAUGGACACGAGCAGGCUGCUGCCCAGCUGCGUUGACCCAGCAAUGCAGCUCGCUGGCAACUUCGCGCCGGUGCCGAAGAUGCUUUCACCGCUGCAGAACUUCGCGCUGGUGGCCGAAGACGCCGUCCUCGCCGUGGAACUUCGCACCGGUGGCCGGAGACGCCGCCCCGCUGCAGAACUUGGCGAACCAACGGCUCCCGCCCACGGCAGGGCACCACCUGCUCGGCGGCGUGGGGCUCGCCCCAGCUGGCUCUCUUUGGCCUGCCGCUGGUGGUGUGGAAGCGAGCCAUGGCGCACGCGCCGUUAACGACGGGCUGGUCUACUGGUCUACUGGAAACGCGAUGAGAUCGUCCAUGAUUGCCUCCUUUUGGUCAGUGUCCAUGGCAAGCGUGUCGAACGUGGCCGGGUGUUCAAACUUAACAUAGUCCCAGACGCUAUUGCGAAGGUAGCGCCUCCGUCUACCACCGCAGUUGGUGAAGAGGCGGUGCUGGCGGCUCUUGACGAUGACGGCGCAGCCCUCGGCAAGGACAAAGGGCAGAUAGGAGUCGACGACGAGGUCACGGUGGCUUCUGUGGAAGACGACCUGGUGGAAGCGUCUCUCGUCCUCGCCAGGGUAGAAGCUGAUGACAUUCCCCUUGGAAUGCUUCUUGGAGGCAUAGCACCAGAGCGUCACACCAGAGAACUCAUCGGUGACCUCCUCAUGGUCGUCCACGGAGACCUGCAAGUUACUGCUGUCACUCCUGAGCUCGGCCUUGAGUCUACGGGCGCGGCGGGAGCACGCGUCGCUGAGGUAGGCCUUGACGGCGUAGAAGAACUCGCUUUGCUGAAAGCGCUCGGCGCUGUUCUCCAAGAUGGUGAUCUGGAGGUAGGGGCUGAAGCAGGCGGCGAGCUUGGCGGCCCAGGUGGUGAGGAAGAGGCGGAGGGUAACCGGGACGUGGUUCUGCACCAUGGACCACAGGAAGAUGAUGCUCGCCAUGGCCGAACCCAACCCUGCCCACUUCUCCACCAUUGCUGCCAUGCCCGGCUAGCUCUCUUCUUCUUCUUGAUGCAACGCUGGAGAUCUUUGUUCGUGUGCGUUUAUAUAUAAUGCUGGAGUUCUGUCUGGUGAUUUACUUAAGUUGACUUCAGCGCGACCGCUGGUCGUUGUUGUCGUCGGAGCAGGUGAAGAGUAGCUGGGAAAGUUCAUGCACGCAUGGAAAAGAUGCAGAACUUGGUUGCUUGAUCAAUUAAUUACUAGGUAGAAGGGCAAAUUCAGAUUUGGGUCGCUUAAUCAAUUAAUUCAGAUUUGGGUUGCUUAAUCAAUUAAUUACUAGGUAAGUUCCGAUUGUGACGAUAUUCUUUCACUGUCAUGCGUAGUGACGAUAUUGUGUUGAUGAAAUGGUAGGGAAGCUUCUUAUGCCAUGUUUAGGUUUAAUUCCCUGUAGAAAAACUUGUUAGCAUUUUGGUGUAGGUAAACCGAAUGGGUCUUGUUAGCAUUUUCUAUAGUUUUACCAGAAAUAGUACUACAAAUUAGAGAUAAAACAAAUAUCUACAAGGAGGGAGUAUAUAGGUAAGGGGGCACAUAUAUAUUACAAAUGAGAGAUGCUACACAUAAUAUUUCAGUUUAGAGGUUUUCAUUUCAAAGAUGCAUUUAUCUUUUGUUAAAGGGGGCACUAGUGAACAAGCUAAUUCUUUUUUCCUUUGCUUCCUUUCUUGAUGUCACUUCACUUGUCACCUUCCUUGAUGUCUCCAUUGGCUUCCUCCGGUGCUUUGUCCUUCCCUUUGUUUUCCUCAUUGGCUUUCUUCAACCCCGCCUCCUCUUUCUCCUUGUCUUUCUUUGCUUCAGCCUCCUUGGCCUCUUCUUCCUCCUUCGCCUUGGCCGCUGCUGCUGCUGCCGCGUCUUCCUUGGCCUGCUUGAGUGCCUUGACGAGGCCCGACAAACACAAAUCAGGGUCCCUUUUUUUCUUCUUCGACAUUGGCAUCAGGUUCUCUGCAACGUCGGCGGGCGACAUGUCGGUCUCCUCGAGCAGCCGCUGAAUUUCCCCAAACAGCUCAUGCUCGAUGACAUCUAAGUAGUUCUUGGCGAGCACCUUGAAGCCCUCGAAGCGGCAGUAUGACAUCUCGAUGUGCUUGUCCAUCCUUCCUCGACGGAUCAGCGCCGGAUCGAGCUUGUCCUUGUGGUUGGUAGUGAAGAUGAUGAUCCGCUCACCCCCGCAAGCAGACCAAAGUCCAUCAAUGAAGUUGAGGAGGCCCGAGAGCGUCACCUUGGUGGCGUCGUCCUUCUCUGGAUCCAUCGGUAGCUUGGGUUUGUCAUCAUCGUCGGAGUCCUUGUCACUAGAGGCCUUCUUGUCCUUGCGGCGUUUUCCGGUGAGGUCGAUGGAGCAGUCGAUGUCCUCUAUGACGAUGAUGGACUUGCCCGUGGUCUCGAUGAAGAGCUUCCGCAGCUCGGUGUUGUUCUUGACAGCUGUGAGCUCGAGAUCGUAGACGUCGUAGUCAAGGAAGUUGGCCAUGGCGGCGAUCAUGGUGGACUUGCCGGUGCCGGGCGGUCCAUAAAGGAGGUACCCGCGCUUCCACGCCUUGCCGACCUUGGCAUAGUAGUCCUUGCUCUCCUGGAACGCCAUGAGGUCGUCAACGAUGGCCUCCUUCUCAUCGGGGUGCAUGGCAAGCGUGUCGAAGGUGGCGGGGUGUUCGAAGGGGACGUGGCUCCAGACGCUCUUGCUGCGGUAGGGGUUCCAGUUGCGGCUGGCGUUGUUGGUGAAGAGACGGCGCUGGCGGUUCUUGACGGUGACGGCGCGGCCCUCGCCGAGCACGAAGGGCAGGUAGGAGUCCACGACGAGGUCGCGGUGGCGCCUAUGGAAGACAACCUUGUAGAAGCGCCGCUCGUCCUCGCCGGGGUAGAAGGUGAUGACUUGGGCCUUGGACUGCCGCUUGGAGGCGUACCACCAGAUGGUUGUGCCGGAGAAGUCGUCGGUGACCUCCUCGUGGUCGUCGACGGUGACCCGGAGGUUCUUGCUGUCCUUGACGAGCUCGGCCUUGAGCUUGCGUGCGCGGCGGGCGCAGGCGUCGCUGAGGUAGGCCUCGACGGCGAGGAAGAAGUCGCUGCGCUGGAAGCGCUCGGCGCCGUACUCGGAGAUGGUGAUCUGCAGGUAGGGGUUGAAGCAGGCGGCGACCUUGGCGGCCCAGGCGGUGAGGUAGAGGCGGAAGGUGGGAGGGACGUAGUUCUGCACAACGGACCAGAGGAAGAUGACGGUCGCCAUCGCCGACCCGAACCCUGCCCACCUCUCCACCAUCAUCGCCGCCGUUGCUUGCUGCAACUGGACGUCAACUUGAUGUUGUGUCUAGGGCGGUCUUGUCCCGAUGGAAGGCUGUAGCUCGACCUGGACGCAUAUAUAUAAUGCCAAUGAUUCGUGCGGUGAUCUGCUUAGGUUGAAGCUAAGCAACGUGUAGUCGUCGCCGUUGUCGUCUUCGUCGUCGUCGCCGUCUGCGUGGGAGCAGGUGAGGAGGAGCUGUCGGAGGCGAGAAGAAGCGGCGGGCGUCGAUGGAACAGUCCAAGGAAACGGAGUUACUUAACUCUCAAGGCAGUGGCAAAUGCGGAAUUGGCUCGUUCAGUCUCUACUUUGUGGCCAAAAGCCAAGAUGAUGCUCCGAUUGUUGAUUGCAAAAAUCUCCGUCGCUGUUUUAAGCUCAUGGAUUGCAUCUCUGAGACUGACAGCCGAGUAUAGAACAGAGACGAGGUAGGCCAGUCGUCGGCAAAUCGAAGCAUGGGUGACGACAUGGUGUUGGUGAGUGCUGAGGAUGCAUGACGCCAAUUUUUUUCCAGGCAACUUACUAAUAGUCGAUCCCAAUACUUAUCUUCGCAUUUAUUUGCUAGACAACAUGCAACUAUCUUUUUUUUCCUCUUUAUUAAUACGCCAUCAACCUCAACCUCUGGCUACUCGAUGGUGUGCAUCAAGGCAGAGAUAGCAUUGGCAUGGAGUUGCGUGCGACGACAGCGGCGAGUAUGGACCGAGUCUAAGACGGAGGCGAGAGUGGAGGUUUUAGGUUGUGGUGAAGAGUUUAAGGUUUGGGGUGGGACACCGGGGCCGGAGAAGAAACUCAUAUCUCCGGUUAGAGGGUGGCAUGGCAGUAAUUAAGAUAGUGUGUGGUGAUUCAGUCAGGUGAGGCCACGCAGCCGGCCGUGCAGCUUGGAAGACAACCAACUGAGCAGGAUAGGAGGAAGAGGAUGAGAAAAGAGAAAAUCAAUGGUAAUUUUAGAAUAAGAAAAAAAAGAGGUGGUGUUUGUUGUUGAUACUAAGUGUCAACUUUGAGUCUGGGCCUAGAAAUUUGACUUGGUAUUUUGAUGAGAUAGAAAUCCUUACUCAUAUCUUCGCAUAUGGGCCGAAAUUGGGAGCAUAUGGACCAUAGAUUCUGUGUGUAUCAAGUGGACCAUGACCCCCAAGGAAAAGCAAAUAGGCUGCUGUGAAGAAGAAGAAAAAUAAUAGAUCAUGGGUAACAGCUCAAACUAAACCAAAACCUGCCACUCUAAAAACUCUUCAAGACUACCAAAAAAAUUAACUCUUCAAGACGACGGCGACUUAACGAAAGGGGGUCCAUUGGGCUUAGUUUUUUCCUUCGUUUUCGGGCUUCUGUUUAUUUAUGUUACUGAAACUGAAAUGUAUUAUUUUAUUCUGUUUAUUUAUGUUACUAAAACUAGAAGAGAAAGGCAUUAUUUUGUUCAUGUUACUAAAACUACAAUGAUUUUUAAGGUGUUUACAGUUUGUGCACAGAAAAGAAGGAGGGAGAAGAAUGCUCCUACAUGUGACGAACAAAUACAUAAGACAUGCAAUAUUGCAUAUUGGUAGUCUAUAGGACGUAAGAGCUGUCAAUUCUUGUAGCGAGAUGAAAAUCAGAUCAGUUAGAAGUACAUAAGCACAUAGAAAUACAUAAUAUAAAUGUCGUUCCCCUGCUCUACAUUCAGAUAUCAGAUUAAAUGAACGAUGGCAAUCAGACCAACACUCAGAUAGUUUAAAUGCAACAGUACAUCAAACAAGGAUGGCAUAAAGAAAAGGAAAACAGAGAAAAACAUGUACAAUACAUGACUCUUACUACCUCUCAUAAACCCUAACUCCCCAAUUUUUUUGGCUCUGAGCCCUGCAAUUCCACUAGUCAAAUAUACCAAAAUCGAAAAAAAGAGAUAUAACAUAGGAUUAUUUUUUGGCUAACAUCUCAGUAUGGCUACAGUGAGUACUAUGUGUUAAACUCUAAAAGUUUCGUUGUGGACCGCCGACUCUUGAGGUAGAUAAUGAUGGGGGGAAUGUGCCCUCCACCCUAAGGGCAUGGCCAACGGGCUGCCCCAUGGUGCUGCUCCGCAGGUCCGCCUCGGCUCGGAUCCUGCAAUUCAGGUUCGGGUGAUGCUUUGGAGAGGAGGCGGUCUCCUGCAGAGGAGUUAGCCGCUCCAGGAUAAAAGCAAGAUAAAAGUGGGAAAAGGGGAAGAGGGAAGGUGGGGAACGAAGGAAGAAGAGAUAGAUGGGGAGAAAAGAAUUGAGAUGGGUCCACUAGGAUGACAUCUACCUAUGCCUGCCUUCAUUGGGUGAAGAAAAGUGUGAAUGAUAGUUUUAAUACUUUAUGUAUAAACAAAGGCAUGGAGCAGCAUCAAGGUGAUGCCUCCAAUGCUCAUGCCCUAACAUGCUCCACUUGGUCACUUACUUUAUGGCAUGUGCAUUGCACGGUUCGAUCAACUUGAAUUGUUAGGUUUAUGAUAUGUGUAUGUGCACGCGUGUGUGUUGAUCAGAGCUUAGGUUGAGUCGGGUGGCCCAUCCGAUCCGAGUCAAUUUGGAAGCAGGUGGCACGAUUGCUAGUGUGGUUGGGCAACUAAACUGACCAUCUCCUUUCAUGGAUGUCGCGUGGCUGUUUAGAUGCUUAGUUUCGCCCUUGUUUUGGGUUUAUGUGUCAUUCUGUUUUAGUAACGAGGGCACCAUCGAUAGAGCUAUGUAGCUGCCAUCGUGUACAUCAGCGCAUUUUCCAUGAAAGCAAUAGCGUGUGUGUGUGUAAUCCUGGAAUUAGAAUAGCGUUGUCCAAUAUAUAUAGGACAACGCUAUUAUAAUUCCAGGAUUAGAAUAGUUAUUUGGAUCACAGCAGCCCCUAUAUAGGGCUCGAUGGACCCCUUCCGAACUUCCCUAAACUGCCCGGCCCAACCAGACAGAAUCCCACCCGAUCCCGAGCCGCCCCGACAGGAUCCACCUGAUCCCCCGAUCCCGAGCCGACCCACCCCCCUCCUCGCCGCUCCUCCCCUCGAUCCCCGACCUCCUCCCCUCCUCNNNNNNNNNNNNNNNNNNNNNNNNNNNNNNNNNNNNNNNNNNNNNNNNNNNNNNNNNNNNNNNNNNNNNNNNNNNNNNNNNNNNNNNNNNNNNNNNNNNNNNNNNNNNNNNNNNNNNNNNNNNNNNNNNNNNNNNNNNNNNNNNNNNNNNNNNNNNNNNNNNNNNNNNNNNNNNNNNNNNNNNNNNNNNNNNNNNNNNNNNNNNNNNNNNNNNNNNNNNNNNNNNNNNNNNNNNNNNNNNNNNNNNNNNNNNNNNNNNNNNNNNNNNNNNNNNNNNNNNNNNNNNNNNNNNNNNNNNNNNNNNNNNNNNNNNNNNNNNNNNNNNNNNNNNNNNNNNNNNNNNNNNNNNNNNNNNNNNNNNNNNNNNNNNNNNNNNNNNNNNNNNNNNNNNNNNNNNNNNNNNNNNNNNNNNNNNNNNNNNNNNNNCUUCACCGGAUCCGCCGCCUCCCCCCGUCUACAGCUCCUGGCCGGCCGGAUCCGCCACCUCCCCUCCUUCCCCAGCUCCUGGCCGGCCGGGUCCGCCGCCUCCCCUCCGUCUCCAGCUCCUGGCCGGCCACCAGCGCGGGCGAGCGAGCGACGGCGGACGCCGGCGCGAGGGAGCCCGCGUCGCCUGGACGCGGUGAAGCCGCCAUGGACUUAGGAAGCCGCAUCCUCGACCCAUCGCCACCGCCCGAAGCCUUGGCAGACCAGAUGACGGCCCCGACGCAAGCUACGGCGAGCGGCGCGACCAACGGAGCAACUCCUCCGCGGAGGCGGCAUCUGCUGCGCCCUCAAAUUCAGCGGCAACAGUACAUGAACUUCCUCCCAAUUUUGCCUUCUUCUUCAAUCUUGCCUUCUCUAACCUUCUUGCUUCGUGCAGAUGAACUUCGUGCCCCCUGCAAGACAUGGAUUGCCAUGGAAUUCCUCUCCUACCUCCACGACGAAUUGUUCUCAAGGUGGCCUAUCAGCUGCUGGAAAAUGGUUGGCUGAACAUCUAGCCAGGGUAUGGUUGAACUUCUUCCUUCCUUUGGUUUGUUAUUUGCUUACAGCUAUGUGAAGUUCAGGUGGUGUGUGAGCAUCAGUCCAGGCUACAAAAGCUUUUUUAAAAUUUGCCUGCAUUCACAUGUGGAAAAGCCAUGUGAAGUUCAACUAGUAAGUGUGCUAGAGUUCAGGUUGGUAUGUAUCUGGUUCUGUGCAAAAAAAAGAAAAUAGAACAUGCAUGUGAUAUCACAUGAAGGUCAGGUUGGUAUGCACUAGCAGUCCAACCAUUCAAACUCAUGAAGGUUCAGGUUUUUUAACUGUAGACAGUAUUUCCCCUUUGCAAAACAAGAAGUUCAUGUUGUGGAGAGUGCUCAGUUCAGGUACAUAUAAGUAAUCAAAUAGUGUAGAAUUAACAGGAUGUGACGUUCAUUCUGUGAAGGGUGCUCAGUUCAGGUACAAAAGUAUUGGCAGAUGCUCAGCUCAGUGCAUAGUGUGAUGCCUCUCCUAGGGGAAAAAUAUGUACAUGAACACCACUUUUAUAUGAGAAGUUCAGGCUGUGAAUAAUGCUAAGUUCAGUUACAAAGGUAUAGGCAGAUCUAACUUGUGUGCUAAUAGACAUUUUUUCUUUUAUGUCAGCAAGACGAGAGACGCAUGAAGAAGUUUAGAAGUUCCCAGCAGCAAGUACACAAUCCAAAGCCUGUACGCGUUGCACCACCCCCUCAAUGGGUCACACCUCAAACGCACCAACAGCAUUGCCAACCUGCUCCAGACCAAAAAUGGAUGACACCCGAAACACACGGAGACUCCCAAGAUGCUGGAUCACAGCCCUAUCCGCACAAGUUUGCGCCUCCACCUAAUUGGGUGACGCCGGAAAUCCCCCGCGGAUUCUUUGUAUCCACCAGCAGACUCCCAAGCACGCCGAUGGAGGAGGGGGUUAGCUCAAGUCCUGCGUGUAACUCUGGAGGUUAUCCUGGUGUGCCUCAUCAAUGCCAAAGCGAAGCAACUAAACCAGAUCGCAGGACAAAUCCAACAGCAACACACACACGGAGGAGAGUGCUCUGCACACUACCACCGUUGGAUCCUGCUGCGGCUGCUACAAGUCAGAAUUGUACGGGGCAUAAGGUAGAUGGAUUGCUUCACAAAACAAAAGAGCAAACCAAGACCAGGAUCGCAAUACCUCCACAACCACCUCAAGCAAAACAAGAGAGAGGCCAUCUUCAGCCCUCCUUCCUCCUCGUGAUCCACUGCUGCAUCCUGCUAUGAUUACUCCGCCGUGCCCCAUCCCAGAGGGACAGCAGCAGACACCGGCGGAGUUGCGAUCAUACACGCACGUAAGUGAAACAAAAAAUAUUUAUAUACGCAUCUUGUAUUAUCUGCAAAUUUUCUGCUCCCUCCAGGAUAAAAAGUUCAUAAACUGCAUUUUAACGUGCUGUUUGGAUUAUUUUUUUCUUUUUCUGCAGACGCCGGAUCUACCGGAUUAUCUAAUACCAAGACUAAAGAUGCGAUUCAAAGAUGUAGAGAAAGCAAGGGAAUUUUAUAACAGAUACGCCAGACACGCUGGUUUUGGAAUCAGGAAGACGGGGGGAAAUGACAACCACAAGUAUUUUGUUUGCGCCUUCCAAGGGAUACACACAUCUUCUGUUUCAGAGGCCAACAGGAAGCGAAACAAAACAUCGCAGAGGACGGGCUGCAAUGCAAGAAUGAGGGUGAAGGUGCAGGAGGAUGACACAUGCGUGGCAGUGGACAUUGAGUACAAUCAUAAUCACAAACUCAUGCAAAACUGAUGACAUGCUGGUAUUUUUGCACUCACACAAGAAUUAGGACCCCACUAUUUUGGAGUACGUAAAGCUCCUGCAGUACCAUGAUGUCAAGCACACAACAAUCAUGUCCAUGCUAUCUGAAAAUGAAGAUGGAAGCUACUUCCUAAGCAUGACCGGACGAGACCUACUAAACCAAUAAGUAUUCAAACGCCCACAUACUGCAAUGUAAAAUAGCAUCCUAGCUCACAACCCUUUGCUAGCAAAAAUAACAAAUGCAUGUUUGCAUGUGACUUGCAGGAAAGCCAUGAAUGCAAGGAAAGAUGAUUUGGAUGAUGUAUUGAAACUUGUUUCAUUCUUCAAAGACAUGAAGGCAAUAAAUGAUGAGUUUUUCUAUGACAUCCAAGUGGACAAGGACAAGUCAAUUAAAAACAUUUCUGGUCUAAUGCAAGCUGCCGAGGAGCCUAUCAAGACUUUGGCGAUUGCAUAACAUUCGACACAACUUACAAGACCAACAGAUUUCAUAUGCCUCUGGGAGUGUUUGUUGGAACAAACCAUCACUUGCAGUCAACGAUAUUUGCUGUUGCCCUCAUAAGAGACGAAGAUGCAAAGUCAUUCAAGUGGCUGUUCGAUACAUUUGUACGGUGCAUGAACAAUAAGCACCCAACUUGCAUUCUAACAGGUGAGUUAAAAAAACCUCUUCAAGUUUCAUCAUCUUUUCAGUCUAUGGGUCUGUGUUGGGUACAUUGGUUUUGUCUAAAAAUAAUGUAAAGAAUGCAGUUCAACCACUGUUAGCAUAGAAGUCCAACUAGCAGUACAAGAAAGCAAAAUUAUCUGUCACGUGUUUAGAAAAAAAUUAGUUAUGAAUGUGAAGUUCAAAUACAUGAAUCAUAAAAGUUCAAGGACAAAGCUGUAAGAUAAAUAUAUGUAGCAUGUUCAGAAAAAUAUAGUUAUUUAUGUGAAGGUCAAGCACUACUACCACAGAAGUUCAACAACAAUGCUUUAAGAAAAUUUUUGAGUGUGACACUACUAGUUUGUCCUACUACUAACUGUGAAGUUCAAGCACUGGUACCACAGAAGUUCAGCAACAGUGCUGUAAGAAAUUUUUUGAGUGCGACACUACUAGUUUGUCCUACUACUAACUGUGAAGUUAAAGCACUGGUACCACAGAAGUUCAGCAACACUGCUGUAAAGAAAAAAUACAUGUGACAUUCUUAGAUACCAUACUGCUAGAUGUGAAGUUCAAGUACUUGUACAACAUAAGUUCACCAUCAGUAGAAAAAAGAAUCACGUUUCAUUUUUUUAAUUCAUGCAGACCAAUGCCCAUCGAUGGCGAAAGCUAUACCACAAUCAUUUCCAAACACCGUCCACAAGCUAUGCCUUUGGCACAUCAUGAAGAAGUACAGGGAAUACAUCGCCUUGCUGUACAAAAAGUAUUAAACAUUCAAAGAGGAGUUCACAGCUAAAUUAAACUGGCCGCUGAUGCCAACGGAGUUUGAAGAUGCCUGGGCUGAACUCGUGCACAAGUACAACCUGGAGAACGACCAGAUGAUGAUGCAGCUCUGGAGUGAUAGGAAGAUGUGGAUUUCAGCAUAUUACAAGAACAUUUUCUGUGCUAGAAUGACUUCCACACAACGAAGCGAGAGCAUGAACCAUGUGCUAAAGAAAGGGUUUGUCAAGGGGACCCAGAACCUACACAGGUUUGCUAGGCGGGUCAAUGCUUGCACACAAACUCGGAUGCAGAAGGAGAACGAGCAAACAAUGACCAACAUGGUAUGAUGACAAGUACAAAACACCCCCAUCAUGUUCUAUUUACCUUCAACAUGUGCACUUUGAAUUUUAAAAAAUGAAACCCAUGACUCUGCUUCGACUAAUAUCUCACUUUUUGACAUGUGCAGACCAAUCCUGUGACAAAAAUAACUUACGGCUACGAGGAAGACAUGUCUAUCAAGUACACGAGAGCCGUGUACACCGAGAUGAGGAAUAGGAUGAGAAAAGCCACGCUAUUUCGCGCAAAGCGUACAGCAGAGCCCACUAAGUACCUUGUGUACUACCAAAACAAGCCUGGCCAUGAUGAUGAAGAAAGAUUUUCCUGGUUAAAGCAUGAAUUCCAGGUUGUAGCUGACCCAGAGAAUGAAAUAUACGAGUGUGAAUGCAAGCUCUGGACACACACAAGUGAGCGAAAAAACAAACACAUUAAAUAGCUAGACUAGUAGUAUCAUAUCAAAAUUUAUGAAACUCAUUGCUGGCUCACAAACUAUGUAUUCUGCAUUCAUCACAAAAUGCAGGCCUGUUCUGCCUUCACAUCAUGAACAUACUGGACUACCUCAAGCCUGACAAAUUUCCAAACAAGUAUAUCCUCAAACUGUACACAAAGACUGCAAAAUCACAACCAACCUUUGAUACAAGGGACUACAACACAACCGCAUCGGAUGGCAGCUCAAUGCUAUCGAAGCAAGACAUCUUGCUGCAGCUGAAUUUGAUGGUUAACAAGAAAGCGAUGAGAUGUGACCAGCAAUAUGACAGAGCCUACUAUGUUCUCAAGAGGCUCGUGGAAGAGCUUGAUGCAAUACAUUCAGCAAAUCAAGAGGAUGCUGACGAAAGGAUGGCUGAAGAGGAUGCUGAAAUUGAAGAUGACCUUCAUUAUUAUAGAGCUGAAAUGCUAAACGCCGCCGCUGAAGCUAACCAAUGCAAGCAGGGUGAUGGCCAAUCAAUGGAGCAGCGACAGCAAGAGACGAUGAAACUGUCGCUGUAUUCUGAAACAAAGGGUAGGAAGAAAAUUACUGCAGCAAAGAAAAGUGACAAGAGAGCUCAAAUAAAGGCACCACCUGCAGGAAGAGUCGUCGUGCUCGAUGAGAACGGAGUGCCACUUGGACACAGGAAAUGUAGUGUGUGCAACCAGGUUGCGGGACACAACAAGCUGACCUGUCCAACACUCUUGGAAAGAAACAAUGCUGAGGAGGUCAAGCAACCCAAAUCUCAAAAACAAUAGCCCAAAGUUAUGGAACAAAAGAAGGGACCACACCCAAAGAAAGCAAGCAGCAGACCUUGUAGCAUAUGCAAGGAGUAUGAACCACAUAAUGCAAGAACAUGCCCGAAGCGCGCAGAUGCUGAAAAGACAAGCAAAAAGACAGAGAAGAAACAUAAGGCAAAACCUAGAGCCAUUAACAAGAAAGUGGUGGAAGAUGAAGAGGAAGACGAAGAUGAAGACACCGUCGAAGAAGAGGAAGACGAAGAGGAAGAGGACGACGAAGAGGAAGAGGAAGACGACGAUGAAGAGGAAGAGGGCGAUGAAGAGGAAGAGGUACAUGUCAAGCAAAAACCUCUACCACCAAAGCCUAGGAGGAGCGCAAGGCUGAUGAACAGUUAGAAUAGGUCAAUUAACACAAUGCAAACUUAUGUCAUGUCAAUGUGCAGAAUAUUAUGUCAUCCCCUGGUAAUAUACACUGUGAAGUUCAAGUAAUAUUACUGUAGAAGUCCUGGUAUGUUAUGAGAGGAAGUGCUGUGCUGGUGAUCUAUUGCAUGAAAGAGCAAGCAGUAAUAAAUUGAAAAAUAUACACUGUGAAGUUCAAGUAAUAUUACUGCAGAAGUCCUGGUAUGUUAUGAGAGGAAGUGAUGUGCUGGUGAUGUAUUGUAUGAAAGAGCAAGCAGUAAUAAAUUGAAAAAUAUACACUGUGAAGUUCAAGUAAUAUUACUGCAGAAGUCCUGGUAUAUUAUGAGAGGAAGUGCUGUGCUGGUGAUGCAUUGCAUGAAAGUGCAAGCAAGAACAAAAAUGAAAAAUAUACAUUGUGAAGUUCAAGUAAGCUUACUGCAGAAGUCCUGGUAUAUUAUGAGAGGAAGUGUUGUGCUGGUCAUGUAUUCCAUGCAGAGUGCAAGCAAGAACAAAAAUGAAAAACAUACACUGUGAAGUUCAAGUAAGAUUACAGUGGAAGUUCUGGUAUAUUAUGGCGGGAGGUGCUCGUGUUGUAUUCCAUAAAAGAGCAACCAGCAAAUAAUCAUACAGUUUUGAAGUUCAGGUCAGCUUACAGAAGAAGUUCUGGUAUAUAAAAUCGAUAUAGGAAAAAAAUAUGCUUAAAAAAAAUAAAGUUUCACCGCAUAAACUAAGGUUAGCAAGCCUAAGACAACGCGUUCAAAUGUGAAGUUCUGCUUGGAUACGUGCAGAAGUUCAUGUACAAUGCCGACAAAAGAUAAAGAAACGUCAACAAUAUUUCUGCACAAAGUUACAGCUGAAAUACAUUCGCACUUGAAAACACAAAAAAAAAAACAAAUAUAGAUUCUAUGCAAAAGCAUACAUAUUGGUUGGGUUGAAAAUUACCAAUACAUUACACAACACAGAAUAUCCUCUCCAUCUGAAACCAGCAGCCCAGCCACAUCUCAAAGCAGAAGUUCAAGUCUAUGAUCAUAUGUUGGGGCCCAAAAAUAAACAACACAAAAAAAUCAAGCAGUUCAACCAUAACCGAGGGAGAAGUUCAGGUACAUCUGUUGGGGCAAAAACAUUCAACACAUGGAUACUGAAAACGACGCAAUACAUUGAAAUUCACAAAGCCAAAUCAUUCUUCACACCAAAUACAUUUGUCCACAAUAUCAUAAGCAAUAGUGCUGCACUUAUAGAUACACAAAUCACUAAAACAUUCUUACAACCAAAUCUUUACGGAAUUGUUCCAAUCAUUAUCGAACCUAAAAAUCUGUACGAAAUCAAAUCUACAAUGAAACUAAUGCUUCGAAUUCACGGGCCAAAGGACUGGAUCUCUUUAGGGAGCUCUGAACGCAUGACUUCAUUCUUCUCGCUAAAAAUCAGAGUGUGCAUGAACUCAGCCUUCCAGUCAUCUGCAGCAGCCUGCAAACAAAGAAAAUGAAACGAUGGUUUAGUAACGGAUAUCUAAAACCACAGCAGGAGCGUCUCAGCAAAAACACACAAGAAAAAUUAAAGGAUGAUGAGACAAGAACAAAGACAGAACAUACUUCCACAUCACCAAAAUCUUCAACAAUCUCAUCGCCAUCAUAUGAACAGCAGAACUUCACGGCAAAGAAACCACAAUCAUUAUUCUUCUGCUUUGGAACAUCGAUAAAGGUCGGCCUCUUUGCAAUAGUCACCCAGUUAGGAUGCUUGCUCGCUUUGUACGCAACCUUGCCGUACACCUCCUCGAGCAACCCAACUAAUCUCUUGAUCUGCCAGAAAUAACCAAAAUAGUUAAGUUCAGGUACAUAAAAAGCGACACUUGCAUAAGAUCCACCUAAACAAAUAGCAGAAGUUCAACUUCCAAAUGAUAGUCAGUUCAAGCAGUAUUACCAAAACAGAGACAACAACAUAUUUUGUCAACAUAAGGCAUAAUAAACUUCGUGUCAAACAAGAGAAUGUGAAAGGAGGUUCAGGCUAAGAAACACUCACGAUAUUUUGAUAGUCCCCGUGGAAACUCGUUCGCGACGUUUCCAUAUUAUCGUAAGGAAGUGAAUCAAGGAUGUCAAUGCUCCCACGAUAUCUAUUCAUCGCGUACACACUGUAGUGCGCCAUUGUGCCAAUUGGCUUGAAUAGAAUCAAGAAAACCUGCCAAGAAUGAAAGGACCGGUGAACACAAACUAUAAAAGCAUAUGUACUGAAGAACCGGCAUGAACAAAAACUUCUUGACAAACUCAGCAAAAGGAUGCACAUGAAAUUAAAAAAAUGCAAGAGUUAUGAAAACCUAACCAGCUUUGCGUUAAGAAGGUUCUUCCUUGCGAACAAACAUUGGGAGGAGACCAGCAGAUUUUUUUGCAUCAAACUUUGGAACUGUUGCAGCGUAGACAUCAUACUCCAGGAAGUACUAUGCAAUCACAAAAACACAAUUAAAACACCUCCCAAAUGCCACUACAACAAAAUUAAGGCAAAAAAAGGAGAUAGGGGUGCAAAGAACUAAAACCUGUAUGAAGUAGGGACUAAGUACAACCCUGUCAGCACUAGUGAAUAUCCCAGAGAUCUCCGGCUUAUCCUUCCACAAAUUUAUGAGAUAAUCCAUUAUGUCUCCUUCCAUCUGCUGCCCUUCACCGAAAAGCGUAUAAAGGACAUGUCCUGUGAGGUCAAUCACAUUCGCAGGGAUGGUAAACAUGCAGUAGCUUGUCCUGCAGAAUACAAAAGGAUGGUAAAAAAAUAUUAGAAGUUCAGAUACAACAACAAAACAGAAGUUCAGAUACUAUAACUCAAAAGGCAAGAGGAGACAUAAAACAGAAGUUCAGAUACUACAACAACGGCAGUUUAGACAAUACAACAACAGAAGUUCAGACACUAUAACUCCAAGGCAAGGGAGAAAUGAACAGAAGCCCACAUACUACAACAACAGAAGUUUCAGACACAGAGUAGCAUCUCUGGCAGCAACAAAGUUAAAGAAGAAGAAAACUCACUCAGAAUACUUCUCCAGACCGUGUUUACUCAGCACAUACUAUUUCAAGUUCCGGGCCUCGGAUAGAUGAGGGUAACUGUAUUUUUUCAGGGGAGCGAUAGGAGAAUGCCACUUCAAAGGCAAUCUUGAUGCUCUCUUGGAGGAAGUUAUGUUGCCAGACUCAACUGCCGGUUUCCUCCUGGUGAUGACAGCAUUCUUCCCACCUAUACCAGCAACAGUACCAGCAGCACAUUUAACAUUCUUCGGGUAAGCAAUCUUCUCAAAAUCAUCAUCGGACGAAAUCACUUCUGCUUCGGCUGCUUCGACUACAUCAGCCUUCCUGGAGCAAGGGUUUUUUGGAGUACCACGAAUACCACCAGCCUGCUUCCCCAACUUGGAAGGAAUAAGGGUCCGAGGUCUAUCAUCUUCUAUCGGAGCUGUACCCAUCGAUUCCUCCCUAGGCUGGUAUUCCUGUGACCCGAGGAAUGAGUAGUGGUAAUUGGUCAAGUCCAACGGAUCCACUGUCAAAGAAAAAAGGAAGAGAAAACAUCACCAUUAAAUACAACUGAAGUUCAGGAACAGCACAAUGUGCAGUCCAACUAAUAAAGAUGACAUGGUUACUACUCAAGCUGACCUAAAAAAAUUAGUUGCAGUAAAAAACUAAAUGAAGUUCAGGCACAACCAAAGGCACAAUUCAAGAUAAACCGAUGAACUGGAAAUCAUUCAACUACAGCUAACAAAACCAUAGAAACGCGUCAUCUCUGAAGUUCAAUUAGAAAGAAAAUGCUCAUGUCCAAGUAAGCAAUGGAAGGACGGAAAUUACUGAAACAAAACACACAAGCAAAAUUAAAAAGAUAGAAAUGAAGUUCAUGUACAAAUAAAAUGCUCCUCUCCUUCCGAAACCAGCAGCCCAGCCAGAUCUCAAGCAGAAGUCCAAGUUCAGAGAAAAAUAUGAAGUUCAGGUAGAAUAAAAGAUGCAGUGCAGGUAAGCAGUCCAAGUUCCAAAUACUUACAUGUGUAGUAGCCAAACAGAGCUUGGAAGUCUGUCUCAAACAGGUUAGAAGAAGCGAUUGAGUACAACCACGUCUUCCUGAUAUCCGCGAUAUUCUCAUGGGAAUAAUUUGCAAGAACCUCGUCAUGAUACGAAUUAAUAUUCGUAAGCAUGAAGAAUCCGCAGUCGAUACUGCCAUCAAGCGCAGUAAAAGAAUAGUGUUAGAACAGAAAAAGAAAGCCAACGAAUAAAACACGUCGCAGCUUAAGUACAACUAUAGUUAAACAGAUGUGAUAAAGAGAAAAAGUGGAACUCAUACUUGUUUUGCUGCUCGGGCACAUCAAUCCAAUCCAGAGCGAAAUGGUCGAUGGUAAGAGGACUGAAGGGUGUCUCCCUGUCGUUGCUGGCAUCCUUCCAAAGCUUCUUGAUGUUGUCGGUCAUUCGCCAAAACAGGCGUACCGCACAUUCAUCUUCUGGUCCAUAAUUGGAGUCGAGAAGCUGGAACCUUGAAUUCUUCAUGUCAAGAAAUAUUGAAACCCAAUGACCAACACCACCCAUGAAACCUAAAAUAAUGCAGACAACACCAACAUAUGAAAAAAUACAAAAAUGAGACAAAUAAGUUUUAACAAAAAUGGUAAGGAACAAAACAGAAAAGAAAUCACUAUAUGGUUGACUUACACAAACCCAAUACGGGAGGAUGAGUUUAUCCGAUCCCUGGUACUUCGCACGUAGAUAGUAGAGUGCGCACUCAGCCACAUUAGAUCGAAGCAUUCCACGAGGACCAAAAGAUAUUGCAACAUCUUCAACAGAAGCUUCACACUCCUUGUUUUGGAACAUAAUCGUUGAUCUAAAACAAGCGAAUAGAAAGUAAAACAAGUUCAGCAGUAGGAGCUCAGGAAGUUCAUAACACAUGUUAGCACAGAAGUUCAGCUAUAUCACAACAGGCAGUACAGUACAAAAGAGGCCAGAAGUUUAGCACCAGAGUAGUAAAAUAAGAAGUUCAGGUACAUAUAGUAGAGAAGUUUAGGUAUUAAACCACAGGCAAUUCACAGGGGGUUCAUGGAUGAUGUAAAUAUUGACCAGCUGCACUCACCUCUUGGAACGAUUAUUCUUAAGCCUAGUUACACUGUAAUUAAAGUCAUCAACCUUCUUUCGGACGACAGCAAGGUCGCUAUCUGCUCACCAAAAAGAAAUAGCAAUUAAGAGCAACACUCAAGCACAAAGAUUCACGACAGUUUCAAUUAAGACCAACACUCAAGCACAAACAUCAAAACAUAAGCACAUCUCAGCUGCUACAUCAGAAAAGAUAAAACCACAACAUCAUAGACAUUACAACCCAUGCAAUACAAACCUUCACCCACAUAGAAAACAGGUUCACUUAACAUUCUUUACAACGCACAUGACAAACGACAAAACCAGAAGUUCAACUUAGACCACACAGGCAGUUCACAGGGGAUAUCAUGGACUAAACAAAACAAAAAAAAGGGAAGGGGAUGGGGAAAGAAGAGAGAAGCAUGCUCCUCUCUUCAUGGAUCCUUGCCUAGACCAGUGGCAGCACUGGAAUGAUCAACCUCCUCUCCAUAGCUAUCGCUUUCGCUCUCUUCAUCAUCGUCUCCAGUAGAUGUUGCAGCAUCGUCGGGAAGGACACCAGUAGUAGCUGGAGCAACUGGAGAAUCUGAAACAAGAAAAACUUUUGGUUGUGCCUGUACAGCAUCAACAUCAACUGAUGGCUCUGCUGCGGGAGACUUCUCCGGGCUUGCAGCAGCACUACCACCAGUUUCAACAGCAGACUCAACAGGAUCUUUCUCCAAAAUGAUGUCUCCAGUUGUCUUGCCCUGCUCAGCAUCAGAAACCUCAGCGCCAAUGGACGACUGAGGUUCAGUCAGGUCCACCCCGUCGGAGCAGCCGGUGCCUGAGACGGAAUUGUCUGCAACCUUCUCUGGAGGAACACUAACAUCAUCAUUCUGCUACUGCAAAAAGAAACAGAAAGUCAUUACAAAGGGCUGACUGAACCUCAUGCACAGGGGCAGCAAGUCCGUCUGAGGGGCAACAAGACAAAUGGACAAGAAAAAUGGUACCUUAUUUUCACUGCCAUGAACCUCAUCAACUAUUACGUCACUAGCGGGAGCAGGUUCAUGCACAGGGGAAGCCUCAUGCACAGGAGCAGCUUCAUGCGCAGGUAAAACAUCCUCCUCAACCCAUCAUCAACAGCCUACAAAAAAAAUCAUGUAGAAAAACAAAUACCUAAUCAGCAGAAGUUCACAUUGCAUAAUCAGAGAAGGUCAGCUAUCACAACUGACACAUAAUGGAAGUCCAAAUAAGUAAACAUAGCAUGUCAGAUAUCAAACUACUCUAAGAUACAAAAGGGAACAAAAAGGGCCAGUCAUGGAAGUUCAGGUGCUGUAGCAGUUGAAGUUCAAGUUCUAUAAACACAGAAGGUCACCUAUGAACACUAGUGCUAAAAAGAAACAGUUUACGACACAUGAAAUCAAUAACGGUCGCCUAUGACUACAAACAGUAAUAACUGAAAGCUAACAUUGAACAUUAGUGCAAAGAAAUAUCAAAAGCCAACAUAAACAAACCUCUUUGGUAUGCUCCACGUGGCCUCCUUCACGACCCGAACGAACAUAAUCCUGCCUCUGAAUCUGUCUCACAACAACACUUGCCUCAUCUUCAAAAGGCUUGCAACGAGCAUACUGCAUUUCCUUGAACAGCCCAACGCUAGUCCGGAGGUGGGAAGUGCUCUGACGAAGCUCUUCAAGAAAUCUAGCUUCAAUAGAUAAGACCUCCUUCGAAGACUCAACAUCAAAUCCGUGUCUGGGAGGAAGAAUCCCAUCAACGCGACUAAGACGCUCAGCAGUUGAAGGAACACGAGCCAACUCCCCACAAACAGUUUCAAGAAGACUGUCAAUCCUAACCAGAGAAACAUUGGCAGCUUCAAACAAAUUCUCAGAAGAAACACCACCUGCAGCACUCACACGGGUAGAAGAACCUCCUGGAUCUACAGGGGGGCACCGGUAUUAACAUCCCGGGAGAAUUCAAAUCUUGCGGAAGUUCCACUCUCUAGGCCGGCAGAACGAGGCAUAGUUAGAACCUGACGUUCAAUAACCCUAAAGAACACAACCUCAGCCUGUGUCUUCCAGUGCAUACAAAAACAAAA